ACCCUAACCCUGUAAUUCCCAAUUCUAAACCCCCCAAAAUGCAAUUCCUUCACAGACCCAACGCGUUUCCAGGCCACGGCGCAGUAUCAAGGGCCAUGGACAUCAUCCAAUCGUCGCCGCCCACGUGGCAAUCGGCCUUCCUCAGCAACCUCGUGAUCUUCGUCAUCGGAAGCCCACUUUUAGUAGCGGGGCUAUCUCUCUCCAGAAUUUGUGCUGCCUUCUUGCUUGGCACUCUCACUUGGCGCGCUUUUGGGUCUUCUGGGUUCCUCCUCGUUGCUUCUUACGUAAUAGUGAGUCCUCACAAAGUCUAUGGAUUUUAUUUGAAUUGUGGGAUUUAAGUUAAAUUUAGAAAUGGGGUUCUGAUUUUUGUUCCCAUUUGGUAUAAAGUUUACGCUUUGGAGGACAAGUUUCAUUGUUUGGUAAUAUGGCAAAGGAAAAGAAACUUAGUUUAUGUCAAAAAGAUUUCAUGUGAAGUAGUUUGUUAUUUAAGUGUGAUUUGUUUUUGUUUAAAGAAUUGGAUUACACUAGUGAAAUCACGUCAAAAUCAUAACCAAAAUAUUUUUUCCAAAAUUUCUUUAUUUUCAUUUGUUUUGCUCUUGGUGGGGGGCAGGUGGAGGAGCCAGGGAGAAUUUAUGGGUUCUCGCAGUUUUAGACUAGUUUGAAACGAUAUAGUAUUGUUUUUCCUGCUUUCCUUUCUAAUAAUGGCUUGUUUUACUUGCAAAAUGAAUCUUGAAUUAGUUCCUCCUUCCCUCUUCUGAUUUUCCCUACCCAUAUUUCUAGUUGAAGAUAAUAGUUUCAAAUCAUGCUUGAAAACUAUAUUACAAAAUACUUGUAAUAUCAAACAAUUUUGUGUGGCAUUCGAGUUUCUAAUUUGAAUGGAGAAAUAAUUGGGAUGGAAGUGGUAUUAAAUAAUUUAGAGGAAAGAAACCCGAAUGCCUUUUGCACCAAUACAAAGAAAAGAAAAGAAAACCUAGUACAAAACUUCGGAAGAUGCUUGAUUGUAAGCUGCUGGGCUUUUGAGGACCUGAGACUCCAUAAUACUUUAUAAUUCUCUAAAUCUUCAUGCAAUCUUACAGCUCUUUGUCAUGCCUCUAAAACAAAUGCGGUAAAACCAUGCUCAAUUGCUCAAAUUGUUAUGCUCAAUUGAGAACUCCUGACCUGUUAUGUGUGUGUGGAGAUGAUAACACCAAUGAAUGGCCUUGUUAUACGGAUGACCGCUCAUGAUAAUUGCUACUUCAAAAAUUAUUGGCUUAGAUUAUGCUGCUGUGUUUUGAAACUUGUUGGCAUGCCUCACGAAUGCUGCAAAAUGUGCAGAAGGUUUCUGAGAUCUUGCUGCCAUCUAAGAAGAAAGAAUGGUGAAAUUGUACAGGUACUAUGAAUAUGAUGUAAUGUUUAGCUUUUUUAUAGGGACUUCCUUUUUGUAUAGUGAACUUGGUUGCAUUGGAAUGAGUCUGUUCUCUGGGAAGAAUCACUGUUCUGAAAAUUGUUAGGUCUGAUCACAAUUGCAACCAGGAGCGGCAUGCCUUGCUUUUCUUCUCAUAGGGCAUCAGGGUAUCCCAUCAGGGUUCUUUUUGUGAACCCCUCUUAUGAAAUAACAUCUUCUAUGCCUUUCCAAAAAAAAAAAAAGUAACAAUCACAUGGCAUAAUUUUUUCUUACAAUAUGAGAGUACUGCAUCAGAGUUUCUUAAUGCAUUAAGAAAAGUUAGAGAUGAGGUCUAAGAAAAUAUCAAUUUCAAGAAGAAACAAAUAACACUAGAAUCAUAUUUUACAAAAAUAUCAUAAUUGAGUCAUGUAUAUAUAUAAUUUUGAUGUAUAAGAAAAUUAUUAAUUUAUAUAUCAAGUGAGAUCUAUGUGUUUUUUUUCAAAAUGUAUUAUCUUAUUAAUUUAACAAAUUAUUAAUUUAUCAUGUUGAUCUCAAAUCAGGACCAACCAAAAUUAUUAAUUUAUCAAGCAUUAUUUAUAGACGUUUUGUUGUACUUCUCUGUAAUUCACUCUAAAUAAAAGGGUAUGUUGAAACAAGCGGAAUUUAGAUCCCUUAUGGUUCUUGCUACAUUUAAGUACUAUUAAUGUCAUUUAUGCUGGUUAUAAAGAUCUGACAUUUUAUUUAGAAACAAAAUUUGUAGAGUGUCAAGCUUUAAUAGCUUUUUUUUUGUUGCUUUUUAAUGUUUAUAUUCGUUGCUAUAUACUAUUUUUUUUCCCUAUCAAACCAUUCUUUCAUGCUUACAAAUUUAAAUUUGUGGUGUGCAAAAAUUGUUGAUAUAUUUCAAAAUCAAAUGUUAUGUCACAUAAUAAAAAGCUAUUUUAGCUCAAAAGUUGUCACAUAAAAUGACAUAGUGUGACUAUUGAAUUGUAGGUAGGUUUUCAUAUGAAUGGUUAUGUCUCUAGGUAAAAUGACAUUCAAAAAUUAUGAGACAAAUUGAAAAAAUACUAUAGCUCAAAAGUUUAAGAGCUUGUUUGGCCUAGUUUUUUUUUAACUUAAAAGCUAUUAUUAAGCUCUUAUGAAAAAUAAUAGCUUUUAAAAAUUAAGCUAAAAUUAUUUGAUAAAUUGUUUAACAAAAUAAAUUAUAUAAGCUCUAAUUUCGGUUAAAAUUACCAUAAAGGGUAUUCAUGCUAUCUUCAAUCACCUAAUAAGCUAUAAUGUAAUGCUUCAAGUUUGUAUAUAAUUUCAGAUAUUAAAAUCGAAGAAAUCAAUAAAAAAAUGAAUAAUUUUCAAACUUAUAUAGUAGCAAUAGUAUUAGACUUUUGUUGAUCUAACAAGCAAUCGGACCAUGAUGCUUCAAUUCCCAAAAAAGAAGAAAAGGGAGGAAACGGUGUAUUUAAUAUUAAAAUCUUUUUUAGUGAAAAAAAAAAUAGAAAACCUUUAAAUAGUUUUUGAAUGCAGUUUUGAAUUUUAGAUUUUUUUUCUCUCAAUUUUUGUAAGAACAAAAAAAUUUUAAAUUUUGUUAUUCAAUGGUUGGUCUUCUGUUUUUAAUUUUUUAGUAGUCUUUAGAGAGGUAGAGGAGAGGGAGAUAGUAAUUUUACGUUGGAGAAUGGUAAUUUGCAGAGGGAAGAAGAGGAGAGGGAGAUUAAUUUAGAGAUGGGUAUUUCCUGAAAUUAAUGUAUUUUUAAAAGAAGAAAAAAAAAAGCUCUUCCUUGGAGCUUUUUUUUAAAGCUCUUUUUUUUUUUUUUAAAUUUUGUUCUUAAAAAAAAACUGUUUUUUUUUUUAAGAGCUUCUCAAAAAAGCUUUUGGUUUUAAAAGGUAGAUAAGGUGAAAAAAAACAGGCCAAACAUGUACUAAAUAUGAAAAGUUAUUGUUUUAAAUUAUAACUCAAAGAUUAUGUUUUAUGGAAUGAAUAGUUCUCCUUUCAUAAGAUGAUUAUUAAGUGCUUGUUUGGCCUAGUUUUUUUUCAGCUUAUCUAUCUCUUAAAAAUAAAAGUCAGGCCAAACAUAAAAUUUUAAAAAGCUCUUAAAAAAAAGUAGCUUUUAUUAAAGAACAAAUUUUUGAAAAAAGAGCUUCAAGGAAAAGCUCAUAUUAAGAGUUUUUUCUUCUCUUUUUUUAAAAAUGCAAGAGAAUUUUUAUUUUUGUUCCAAAAAUAUCAUCAUCUGUUAAAAUAAUUACAAUAUUACCCUCUCAAAAAAAGAAAUACCCUUUAUGAUAAUUUUAACAAAAAUUUAUAACUUAUAAAAAGAAAUUUACUAAAUAAUUUUAGCUUAAUUUUAAAAGCUAUUAUUAUUCAUAAGAGCUUCAUAAGAGCUUUUAAGCUAAAAAAAAGCCAGGCCAAACAAACUCNUCAGGCCAAACAUAAAAUUUUAAAAAGCUCUUAAAAAAAAGUAGCUUUUUUUAAAGAAUAAAAUUUUGAAAAAAAGAGCUUCAGGAAAAGCUCCUAUGAAGAGCUUUUUCUUUUCUUCUUUUAAAAAUGCAAGAGAAUUUUUAUUUUUGUUCCAAAAAUAUCAUCAUCUGUUAAAAUAAUUACAAUAUUACCCUCUCAAAAAAAGAAAUACUCUUUAUUAUAAUUUUAACCAAAAUUAUAACUUAUUAAAAAAAAUUUACCAAACAAUUUUAGCUUAAUUUUAAAAGCUAUUAUUUUUCAUAAGAGCUUUAUAAUAGCUUUUAAGCUAGAAAAAAGCCAGGCCAAACAGACUCUUAAACAAUACCUUUAUCUUAGAGUUGUAUCUAGCAAAAUGUAAAGAUGUCUUUUAGACAAAAUAGUGCCUUAAUGAAAGGGUUGUGUUCUUGAAGAAGAGACACUUGCAAGCCUAUAUAAAGGGCCUGUUGCCAACCAUUUUGACAUAUCAAAUAAAAAACAAAACAAAAGCAGAAAAAUCAAGAGUAAGAAAAGUGUUAUGUUCUAUUAACAUAAACACUUAAGUUCCCAUCAACUACAAAAGCGUCCAAAUUUUUUAUAAUCUACUUGUUGUAGAGAGUAGGCUCUAAGUCCUAACAACUUUACAAACCCUCGAGUGUAUCUAGUGGUCUACUCUUGUAAAGUGCAAGACGAAGUUAGACAUUAGCUUCAUUGUAUCUCUAAGGCUAUUUGCAUUAUUCCCUUUUGCAUACCGAGUGGUGGGGACUAAAUAAGUCUUAAAGAUAACAUCUAUUGAAAGACUCGCCUUAAAGUCAAGUUUUUCGAUUCUUAAAUUCCAUCUAAACCCCAUUUGCACCAACAAAAAUGAGCAGGUACCUACUUUACUUUAUUAUUCUACUUUUAUUAUAUAAUUUUUAUAGUCUCCUUUUUCAUCUUAUAUAUGGAAUCAAAUCCAUAUAGAAACCUUAAGCUUGAGGCAUAAGCUUCUCUCUUAUGAAAAUAAAAUAAAAGUCAAGAGCAGUAUAUAUACCAUUGUGAAUGAAUAAAGUAUAAAAACAUGGUGCCUUUUGAGAUACAAAACAUUGUGAAUGCGACAAGAAGUAUUAGUUGUAAUGUGUUAAUGGUCAUUUUUUAAUCAAAUUAAAAAUGUUACUAUUAGCAAUAUCAAGAAUUGCCAGGGAGAAAUUCAUUGAUAAAAUGACAAAUACCUAAAUUCUCUUCAUUGGCAACUUUACUAAAAAUCACUUUAAAAAAAAAAUUAGUAAAAGAUUUUCCAUAUUAUCUCUAUAUAUAAUACAAUAUCAAAAUUUAGUAUUAUAAAAUAUUUUAUUUUAUGCUUUUUUAGUACUAACAUAUUUUAAACAAUGUCAUUGUUUAUUUUAUUAUUACAUGGACACUACUUAUGUCAAACCCUGUUCUAUAUAAUAAUUACGACAUCAUUUACAUGCUCAAUAGAAUAGUUGCAUAUUUAGGAAGUUUGAGAAAUCGUUAAAAGACGAUAUUGCCCCUAAUGGUAUCAUUAAGUCGAUUAAGCCUCGAACUAGUUCAAAUAGGAAUUUUAAGGUGAAAUUCAAAAUUUUACAGUCAAAGAAUGACUUAAAAUGGUGAUUUGGAGUUCGAGGAUCAAUUUGGAGUCAAAUCGGAAUUUUUGCUAUCUAGGGGCAAAAUGGUCAUUUGCCACCUAGAGACAAAAUGAAAAUUUUUAGAAAAGAUUUUUUUGGCCCCAUUUGACUCAUUGGAGUAUGAUUUGAGUAUUGGAGUAUGAUUUGAGGUUUAGAAGUGAAAAAUUUUAAUUUCGGUAUAGUUUAGAGUAUAAGGGUAAAAUGGUAAUUUUACCACCCUAGGGGCAAAACAGUAAUUUUUCACCACCAGGACACUUGUCCAGCACAUGGUCUUCCCUUAUCCUCAUUUUGACCUUUGACUAAUCAUGUGGUGGAGAUAAAAGGUUUAAAAUUUUUAAAGUUUUAAAAAUGGACCAAUGGAAACAUGCCACGUGUCAAGCAAGGAUAUUUUAUUAUUUUCUAUAAAAAUCAGCCCAUAUUUAUCCCAUUCUUCUUCUCCAUAUUCGGCCAAGACAAAAGGAAAGAAAGGAAAAACAAGAACAAAACCUAGGUGGAGGAUUUCAAGAGAAAAAGUGUGGAAAAUCAAGGAAAACAAGUGAAAAAGGUAAGAUUUUUCAAUUUAAACUUGAAAUCUAUUUUCCUUACGCAUUUCUCUUUAUUUUUCAUGCUUAAAUUACAUGUUUUCAUGAUGAAUUCAUGACUGAUCAAAACGGGUAUGGAGAGAGAAAGAUGUUGGAUUGAAUUGAUUUUAAGAUAUGUUAGUGUUUUUAGUUAGUUUAGCAUAUUUAGAAGCAAAACAAUAAGAAAAGAAUCCAUUUUUCCCAUGAAUCAUCAUUGGCCGAAUCUUCCUUCAUGUGUGUGGGUGGUGGAUUGUUAUUAUUUCAAGAGAAAUGGCUUAGAAAAUGAUGAAUAAUGGUGAAAAAAAUUAAGUAGGAAAAAUCACUGUGUUAGUGCACUGUAAUGGCCGAAUUUUUCCAUGAAGAAAUGGGAGGGUUUUGAUGCUGAAAUUGGUGUUAUUUGAAUAAUGUUUGGUGAAUUGAGGUAUUAGAAAUGAAAUGGAGCAAUUUGGAGCCAAAUCGGACACAAUUGUCAUUUAAUCGGGUAAUAGGCCGAAUUAGGUCAACACCGCAUUUAAGCGGUAGUCGGAUAAGUUGCAUAUCAUAUCAUGCAUAUACACUGAGCCUGAAUUGAUUUUAUAAUGGUCAAGCAUUAAUGUGGUGAAUUAUGUAUUGUACAUUGUGGAUAGGUAGUGAGCAUAUUACACUAGUAAAAGUACAAAGAUUGUGCUUGAAGACUGGGAUUAGGAGUACAUCGACUCCUAGAACUGUGAGUAAACUUAUUAUUGUCUUAAUUAUCUAGAGUAGUUUUAUACAAUUAUGUGAUUUUAUAGAAAAUGAGUUUAAAUGGUAAAUUGCUAUGUUUUAGGAGAAAUUGUGAUUUUAUAAAAUGAUUUUAUAAAUUUUUUGAAAAAUUGAAUACUAGUUUUGAAAAUAGAGUAAUUGGAAACUGCCUGCUUGUGUUAUAAAUUGUGUUUUAAAUUAUAUGGCUUAUAGCAAUAUGUGAGCAUGAAUGGCAAAGUCAGUAUUUGUAUUAAAAUUAUAUAUACUAUGUAUUCAGCCUUGAAAUGCUAGAUUUUGAUAAAUUACCAUGUCAUGCAGAUAAGGAUUUUAUAAAUUAUAUGGUAGAUAAAAUAAUCCAUAAUCCCUACAGUGGAGGUUUUGUGGACCAGCCUAAGAGAGGGGGCACAGAAUCAGAUAUACCUUACCUCGAUCGGAGAGCCGUGUGAAGGGUGUCUCUGGAGGUAAAGAUUUGAGUGCACUUUACGUGGACCAUCACGUGAGAGUGAGACUCAGCCAACGCCAAGGCAUGGCUAGAAUUUCAAAUGUAAAGACAUUUAACAGCCUUGGUGGUCUCGGUCAGAUGCUUAAGCCAAGGCAUCCCCGGGAAUGAUUUUGGCAGAGCCAAGUUUUGUGAGAUAGAUAAGCCAUGUUGAAUUAUUGAGUAAACUGAAUAUUCAUGUUAUGAAACAUAUAUUGAAAAAAUAUGUAAAAACCCUUAAAUUUUUAUUCUUUUAUUAUAACUAAACAAGUCGCAAACUCUUAAUUUUAAUAAAAAAUUUAACAAUCAUCAAAUUUAUUAUCAAUUGAUAUUUUUUUUGUCUAAUUAAUAUAUGAUAUGAUAAUUAAUAUAAUUGCGUGAUGGUAGACAUAACCCCAUAAAAAUUAAUGUGAAAUGAGUCAUGCUAUCAUGUCAUCAAGUUAUGCCGACAAGAAAAUGUCAACUAAAUUUUAAAAAAUGAUUGGAAUUUUUAAUCUUCCUCAGAAUUUUUUAUACAUAUGAAAAGAAAAUGUAAAGUAUGGAACUGAUUAAGAAUCCCAAUCCUCUGUCACAUUCGUUGACUUUUCAAAUGUAGACUUGGCUUUAAUAUUAAAGACAAGAGAACACUUUUUCACAAACUAAUCAUGCCCUUAAUCUCCUUCUCUCUCACGGAAACUUUAGGCUGCUGAGAGCAAAACUUCCAUUACUUUGCCUCUUGGCUUUGGCUUUUUUUCUUCUCCUUCAUGCAUGCAUCGCUUGAGUCAAAAACAAGCACUGUGGCUUCUGUUUCUGUGGCUCUUGUUUCUGCGGAAACAUUAACAUCAAUUACCCUUUCCGUUAAACUUAGAUUUGAUUUCAAUUGCAGCCACAGAAAUAAUUAGCAAAGCAAUGAAGAUAACAUUGUCCUAAGAGUUAAUGUUUCUCGUUAAACUUUUUUAUAUAUACUCCUCCACAGAAAAAUACUGUUGUUAACGUGUGAGGAUUUUUAAGUAUUCCGCAAUAUUUGGUGUUGUUUAGUUUUUGAAAAAUAUUUAUUGUUUUUAGCAUAAAUAAAUUUGACAAAUAAACAAAUAUGAGAAAAAUAAAUUUUUAAUUUUGAAUUCUAAUUUUAAAAAGUGGACAAUAUUUUUAAAUUACUUUUUUAAUUUUGUGUAUAAAUUUGUAUCAUAAAAUUUAAACUCGACAUUUUAAUGUAAAAUUUAAAGAGAAGGAUUUAAAACAUUUUUUCGUUUGGGCCCGGGGAAUCCCUUGCUUUUGGCUAUGGUCUUUAUUUACCUUUUUUGCACCUUUUUUUUUCGAAACUAUUAAUUCACAAACACUAUUGGAACGACGCGGCACGACAGCAAUACCACGACAAUCUACGAUUCAGAUUGACAUUACUAAUUUAUUAUUAUAAUAAUAAAUAUAUUAAAAAUUUUCUAAACUAUUUAAAAUAAUUUAAUUAAGUCUUCCUCUUUUUAUUUUGUUCAAUUAAACUCUUAUAUUUUUAUGUUGAAAUAAAUAAACAUUUAUAAUUAAUGGUUAACUAACUUUUAUUAAUUCAAAUUCAACUUGUCAUUUUAUACCCAAGUGACGUUGACAUGAUGUAAACAUGAAAGGUAAAAAUGUCAUGUCAGCAUAACAUGUUAAUAUCAUGUGACAUAAAAUAAUAAGUAGAAUUUUGAUUAAUAACGGUUAGUUAAUUAUUAAUUAUAAUGGAUUAUUUGGUUUAAAAUAGAAAUACAAGAAUUUGAUUGUACGCAAUAAAAGCUUAAAAGUUUAUUUGAAUUUUUCUAAAUAAUUCAGAGACAUUUUUAAAUAUUAUGCAUAUAUAUAUAUAUGUGAAAUUAAUUAAAUUUACAACUUUCAUAUUUUUUAUACAAUUUAUAUUUUGUUGAUAUAAUCGUUGUAUUCCAUAUAUACUUUAUUUACAUAGAUCAUGCAUGAAAAAUUUUAACUUAAUUAAAACUUUCUAAUUAUUUGUAUGAUAACAAUGAAAUUUUAAUCGUUAAAUAUAUAUUAAAAAACAAUAUUCCCCACCAAUGCUCUCCGGGUAUCAUUCUGACUAGAAACUUUAUAUGUAUGAUUAGGUGCAAACAAUGUUAGCUUGCUAAAAGUUAAUUGUAUAUGAAAUUAUAAAAGGUGUAAAACUUAAUCAAUGUGUGUAUAUAUAUAUAUAUAAUUUUUAUAAGUAUUGCAUAUAUGUAUACAUAUGUAUAAAAGAGAUUCAAUAAAAGAUAAAAUAAUUAAAUAAGAGAAGAUCCACUACAAAUGAUUCAUAAAUAAUAUUGAACGACAUUUAUUAGAUUUUUUAGUAACAUAUUUUAUGUUGUUACGAUGUUUUUUGGUCAAAAUAAAAAAUUUGUCCAAAUUUAUCAUUUACUUUGGGUGAUGGAUCAAAUUAUGAUCGUAUUUGAAUGAAUAUAAUUUUGUCACUAUACUUUAAAAUUGGUUAAAAAUUGAUCAAAAGUUCUGAAAUAAACUAAAAGGUACGAUAAUAAAAAUAACACCUGUCAAACCCUGUUCUAUAAAAUAAUUACGACGUCAUUUACAUGCUCAAUAGAAUAUUUGCAUAUUUAGGAAGUUCAAGAAAUCGUUAAAAGACGAUAUUACCCCUAAUGGUACUAUUAAGUUGAUUAAGCCUCGAACUAGUUCAAAUAGGAAUUUUAAGAUGAAAUUAAGAGUUUCAUAGUUCAGGGAUGACUCAAAAUGGUAAUUCGGAGUCCGAUGAUCAAUUUGGAAUGAAACCGGAAUUUUCACUAUCCAAAGGUAAAAUGGUCAUUUGCCACUUGAGGACAAAAUGAGAAUUUUAAAAAAGAUUUUUUGGCCCCAUUUGAUUUAUUGGAGUAUGAUUUGAGUAUUGGAGUAUNNNNNNNNNNNNNNNNNNNNNNNNNNNNNNNNNNNNNNNNNNNNNNNNNNNNNNNNNNNNNNNNNNNNNNNNNNNNNNNNNNNNNNNNNNNNNNNNNNNNNNNNNNNNNNNNNNNNNNNNNNNNNNNNNNNNNNNNNNNNNNNNNNNNNNNNNNNNNNNNNNNNNNNNNNNNNNNNNNNNNNNNNNNNNNNNNNNNNNNNNNNNNNNNNNNNNNNNNNNNNNNNNNNNNNNNNNNNNNNNNNNNNNNNNNNNNNNNNNNNNNNNNNNNNNNNNNNNNNNNNNNNNNNNNNNNNNNNNNNNNNNNNNNNNNNNNNNNNNNNNNNNNNNNNNNNNNNNNNNNNNNNNNNNNNNNNNNNNNNNNNNNNNNNNNNNNNNNNNNNNNNNNNNNNNNNNNNNNNNNNNNNNNNNNNNNNNNNNNNNNNNNNNNNNNNNNNNNNNNNNNNNNNNNNNNNNNNNNNNNNNNNNNNNNNNNNNNNNNNNNNNNNNNNNNNNNNNNNNNNNNNNNNNNNNNNNNNNNNNNNNNNNNNNNNNNNNNNNNNNNNNNNNNNNNNNNNNNNNNNNNNNNNNNNNNNNNNNNNNNNNNNNNNNNNNNNNNNNNNNNNNNNNNAACCUUCAAUGGCCGAACCCUAUGUGAAGUGUAGAAGUAAUGAAUUGAUUUUGUGAUCAAGUGAAUUGGUUGAAAAAUUGAUGAAAUGAUGAUUUAUGGUGAGAAAAUGGAAUGGGAAAAUUUUUAGUGAUAGUGCACCACAAUGGCCGAAAUUUUCAAGAAGAAUUGUGAGGGUUGUCAGGCUGAAUUUUAGAUUAUUGGAAUUGUAUUUAGUGAAUUGAAAUAUUAGAAAUGAAAUAGAGCAAUUUGGAGCAAAAUCGGACACAAUUGUCAUUUAAUCGGGUAAUAGGCCGAAUUAGGUCAACACCGCAUUUAAGCGAUAGUCGGAUAAGUUGAAUAUCAUAUCAUUCAUAUUGUCACGAACCGGAACUCCCAUCGAGCCCGUGACAACAGCCGCGACGUCUCGAUCGACAUUCAUUACCCGGAAUGUCAACCGGAACCCGGCAAGGUUUUAAUAUCAGCUUCUCAUUUUCCCUGUGGGUAACUGUUUUCAAAUACCACAUUCUAAAAGAUUUUAAAUUGUUUCCAACUUAAGCAAAUAAAAUAAUAAUUUUCAUCUCACAAGGGAAUUUUGGUCAUUUAUCCCAAAAAUCUCAAAAUCAUCUAAAAAUAUAGUAUGUAAGUGGAAAACACAUAUUUCAUAAUCAAAAAUAAUUUUGGAUGUCUAAAACAUUCGUUUAAAAUGGAAUUAUGACUGUUAUAAUAAAAUAAAAAUAUUAAAUAAAAUAUUCAAUUUCCACAUAAAACGAUAUUUUAAGAACAUUGCAUAAAUAAUUUUUAUAGUGUAAAAGCAAAAUAAAUUCUUACAUACCGUAAUACAGAUAACCAAAGUAUACAAUUUAAUUUACAGUGACAAGUGGGCCCACGAAUGACCAAAAGUAUCAAAAGAAAUGAACCUACAGUUUUUGGAUGUGGCAAGUUCAACUAUAAUCAUCGCCGAUAUCAGUUAUCUACAAUCUAUUCUGAGCCUGAAAUAGGUGGAAAGGAGGAUGGUGAGAUUAUAAAAUCCCAGUGAGUAAACAAACAUCACCUAAAAUAUCUAAAGUCGAGUAAAAGGAGACUAUUAAAACAUUUCAUCAAACUGUAAUUUAUCAUCUUUCAACCUAUUUCAACCAAAUGAAAUCAAUUUAUUUAAAGCAAGUAAUCAGUAUGGCUUAUGAAUUUCUUAAAAAGCUUGGCUCAUGCCAAAAAUUAUUAUCAUACUCAGUUAUCUGGGAUACCUUGGCCGAGAGCUAUCCCAACUGAGUCCGCCAAGGCUAUUAGAAAGUCGUGUUUUUAUUUUGAAAACAUAGUCGUUCCUUGGCGUUGGCCGAGUUCCCCUUCACGUGGUGGUUUAGCGUGAAGUGAAUUCUAAAAGUUAUAUCUCGGGAGUUACCCUACUCGCCUCUCCAACCGAGGUAAAAAUAUAACAGGAUUCUGUGCUCCUCUAAUAGGCUAGUCCACAGAACCCAACCUACUGCAGCAGGUCAAACCCACCAUACAAUAAAAUUUUGACAGCAUGACAGGGCUAAUAUAUUACUACCCAACCUGCAAGGGUAAAAUAAAGCAAUUCAUACAAUUCAUAAAAAUACAGCCCAGCCAGUCAUGCCAAUACAAUAACAUAAGCCAUUGAUUCAAUUUUAAAUUUACAACAUAUCAGUAGUCUCCAAUUACUCUAUUUUCAAAAUCAUUAUUUCGUUUCAAGACAAUUUAUAAAAUAUUUUCAUUUAAACUCAUUUUGUUUACAAAAUAUAAAAAUUUACCAUUUGAACUCAUUUUCAUAAAAUUCACCAAAACCGAAUAAAAACAUACUUUAGAUAAUUAAAAUGAUGGUAAGGUUACUCACCGUGUCUAAAGUGGAGAUUUUCGAAAUACUCAGACUACUGGUCUUCGGGUGCAAUUCCCUUGCCUUUAUCGGAAGACUCACCACCUUGACACAGUGCAAAAUCGAGAAAUUCACCACAUUGGUACUAAAUUGAAAUUAAACUAAUUUAGACUACUAAUGCUUGAUAUGGAAUGCAAAAAUGUCUAAAUUUUUGCCUAAAUGCGGUGUUAGCCUAUUUCGGUUUUUUACUCGAUAAAUCGAUAUACGCGUCCGUUUAAACUCCAAAUUAAUUUUUUUCAGUUUCUAUACCCCAAUUGCACCCAAAUUGACUUAAUGUCCCUCAGUGUGGUGCAAAUUAUCAGUCUCGAUAGCAAAUUACAAAAAUACCCCUAGUGGGUAAAAAUUUGUAUUUUUGCUCCUAAAAUUCUCAUUAUUUUUCUAGGCUCAUAAUUCAUUAUUAUUUAUCAUAAUUCCUCAAAUAAACAUCAAGAUCAGCAGCCAAUAUUCCCCUAGAAAAUUCGGCAUAAUGGGUUUCAAUGGGAGAAAAUUAUAUCUCUAGCUUAUUUUUGCUAUAUUUCAAUAUAACUUAACUAAAAUCGCUUAAUUCAAUUAAAAUCAACCAAAAAUCAAGCUCAAAACUCAUCCAUGGAAGUUUGGCCAGCAUGGGUGUCCAUACCCACUUUCUAAUUUUGCAUGGAAAUGAGAAAAAAAUGCAUGGGUAGUGAAAAUCACAAGGAAAAUCAAUGAAAUUUACCUUUUUAAUGCUUGAUUUCUUGAUUUCUCUUGAUUUUCCCCAAAUUUUCAGGUAGGGUUCUUAUUUUUUUCCCCCUUUUCUCUCCUGGUUUGGACGGCUGAAGAAGAUGAGAAUUCUGAAAUUUUUACCUUUUUAAAGGCUAAAAUAAAUAAUAUUAUUUUAGUCAUUUUUUUAAUGUUUUAUUAAUUUCUUAAAUUCUAGCCAUCCAUUUGUUUCCAAAUUUUCACCAUACACUUGUCCCACAUAUCCAUAGCUUAGAUAAAAUUCUCAGACUUAUCCAAACUCUUGGUGGAGUAAUUUUUGAAAUUUACACUUUUACCCCCGUAAAAGUCAAAAAUUACAUUUUUGCCCCAAAAACUGAAAAAUUGCCCCUAGACAUAUUUUUCAUCCCUUAUACUCAUACCAUUCUCCAAUUUGUCAAAUUUGAUCUAAAUUCUCUCAAAAUCUCAAAUUUUAUCCGCUAGUGGUAAAAUUACGAUUUCGCCCCUACACUCUAAAAAUCACCGAAAUUAAACUUUUUCACUGCCAAACCCUCAAAUUAUACUCCAAUACUCAAAUCAUACUCCAAUAAGUCAAAUGGGGCCAAAAAAAUUCUUUUCUAAAAAUUCCCAUUGUGUCCAUGGGUGGCAAAUGACCAUUUUACCCCUGGACAGUGAAAAUUUCAAUUUGACUCCAAAUUGAUCCUCGAACUCCAAAUCACUAUAUUAAACCAUUCUGGGACUUUAAUAUUCUUAAUUUUAUUUUAAAUUCUCUAUUUGAUCUAGUUCGAGGCUUAAAUUAACUUAAUUGUAUCAUUUGGUACAUUGUCGUCUUUUAACGAUUUUUCUUUCGGGGCUUUCCAAGUAUGCAAGCAUAUUGUCAAUCAUAUGAAUGACAUGACAAGUAUUUUAUAAGGUCGGGCUUGACACAUAUACACCGAGCCUGAAUUGAUUUUAUAAUGGUCAAGCAUUGAUGUGGUGAAUUAUGUAUUGUACAUUGUGGAUAGGUGGUGAGUAAAUUACACUGAUAAAAGUACAAAGAUUGUGCUUAGAGACUGGGAUUAGGAGUGCAUCGACUCCUAUAACUAUGAGUAAACUUAUUAUCGUCUUAAUUAUCUAGAGUAGUUUUAUACAAUUGUGUGAUUUUAUCAAAAAUGGGUUUAAAUGGUAAAUUGCUAUAUUUUAGGAGAAAUUGUGAUUUUAUAAAAUGAUUUUAUAAAUUUUUUGGAAAAUUGAAUACUGGUUUUGAAAAUAGAGUAAUUGGAGACUGCUUGUGUUGUAAAUUUAUGGUUUUAAAUUGAAUGGCUUAUGACAAUAAAUGAGCAUGAAUGGCUAAACUGAUUUUUGGUGUUAGAAUUAUUUGUACUGUGUAUUCAGCCUUGAGAGGCUAGGUUGCGAUAAAUUGUCAUGUUAUGUAGAAAAAGAUUUUAUAAAUCAAGUGGUAAAUAAAGUAAUCCAUAGUCACUACAGUGGUGGGGGUUUUCGUGGACUGCCUAUGAGAGGGGCACGGUAACCCAAUUAUAUAUUUACCUCAAAGGGGAGAUGUUGGAUGAAGUAUCUUUAGAGGUAAAGAUUUGAGUGCACUUCACGUGGACCACCGCGUGAGAGUGAGACUCGGCCAACACCAAGGCAUGGCUAAAAUUUCGGAUGUAAAGACAUUUAAAAGCCUUGACAGACUCAGUUGGGAUAAUCCUCAAUCAAGGUAUCCCUGAUAACUGAGUAUGAGAAUGAUUUUUGGCACGAGCUAAGCUUUUCAGGAAAUCAUAAGCCUAGUUGUUUAUUUGAUUGAAAUGAGUUGAAAGGUAAUGAAAUUACAAUAUGAUGACUUAUUUUAAUUUGUCUCCAUUUACUCGCCUUUAGAUAGUUUAGAUGGUGUCUGUUUACUCACUGGGAUUUUAUAAUCUCACCACCCUCCUUUCCUCACAUUUUAGACUCGAGGAAUUCCAUAGUUAGCUGACUUUGACAAAGACCUUCAUUUGGACUUGAAUCGGCAAAAGCUAUAGGUUUUCAGCUUCUGAUGUAUUUUGGUUAGAUGUGGGCCCACGUGUCACUGUAAAAGUAAUUUUAUGCUUUGGUUAUUUGCUUUAUAGUAUAUAUGAAUAUAAUUAACUUUUACGUUAUAAGAAUUAUUUACCGAUAGCUUUAUAAAAAUUAUUAUACAAGAAAAUAGUUUAUUUUAUUGAAUAUUUUUAUUAUAUUCAAAUGGUCAAAUUUUCACUUCAAAUGAACGUUUUAGAUACUUAAUUUGUUUUCAAAUCACUAAAUAUAUAUUUUUUGCUUACCUACUACAUUUUUAGCAAGUUUUGAGAUUUUUGAGAAAAAAUGACGAAAAUGCCCCUGUGAGCCAGAAAACAAUAUGUUAUGUUUUGAUUUGGAAAUGACUCGUAAUCCUUUGAAUUACGAUAUUUGAUAACUAUUGCUCAUCGGGGAAGUGCAAAAGCUGAUACGAGAGCUUUACGAGGUUUCGAUUGGCAUUCGGGGUGAAGAAUGUCUGUCGAGGCUUCGCGACGGUUGUCACGGGCUCGAUGAGAGUUUCGGGUCAUGACAACACCCAUUCAAAAAAUGAGUAGUAAAUUUGAUCCAUUAUGCUAAGUAGAUUGGUGGUAAAUUUGAACCUUAUGUCAAAUUAUUCUAUGAAGUUUGUAUGUGAAAAUAUGGCAGCUAGCACAUACCCAAAUUAAAUUUGUAAAUAACAUAUACAUGUUCUAUAAUCAUGUUUUCCAACUAAUUGAUUUAUAUAUUGUUUGUUAACUCUUUUUUUUUAAGAAACAGAAAUUCUUUUACUAAGAACUUUUUUGGGAAUAAUUUGUUUAAUUGUGUUGGUUAGAUGAAAAUUAAAAAGUAGCAUUUGUCGAUGGAUGACAUGAUUGAAAAUUUUCUUCAGAGUCAAAACAAUUUAAUGCUUAUAAGAUAUUCUUAUUUUGAAAUAAAAAGAAUAACUGAUGGUUUCAAGAAUAAAUUAAGUCAAGGAGGAUAUGGUUCUAUGUUUAAAGGAAAACUUCGAAGUGGUCAACUUGUUGCAAUAAAAUUGUUAAACAAAAAAAAAAGGUAUCACCCAAGAUUUCAUCAAUGAAGUUGCAACUAUUCGAAGGAUUCAUCAUGUUAAUGUGGUAAGACUUAUUGGAUUUGGCGUGAAGGGAUCAAAAUAAGCUCUUGUAUAUGACUUCACGAAGAAUGGGUCAUUGGAUAAAAUUAUAUUUUCAACUAAAAAUAACACCUUGAGUUGGCAAAAAUGUUUGAGAUUGCAUUGGGGGUGGCUCGAGGUAUUGAAUAUUUACAUAGAGGUUGUGAAGUGCAAAUUUUACAUUUUGAUAUCAAGCCACAUAGCAUUCUUUUAGAUGAGAACUAUACUCCAAAAGUUUUAGAUUUUGGCCUCACAAAAUUGUAUUCAGUGGAUGAUGAUGUUAUUUAUCUCAUAGUAGCAAGAGAUACGAUAAGUUAUAUGGCUCCAGAAUUGUCACGACCCGGAACUCCCAUCGAGCCCAUAACAAUCGUCGCGAAGUCUCGUUAGACAUUAUUUACCCUAAAUGCUGAUCGAAACCUCGUAAGGCUUUCGUAUCAGUUUUCUUACCUCCCCUGUGAUCGACAGUAACUAAAAUCGUGUUUUGAAACGAAAUGGACCAUUUUUCCAUCCAAAAACAAUGAAAAUUUAUUUCUGCCUCACAGGGGUAUUUUAGUCAUUUUUUUUCAAAAAUACGGAAACCCUUUAAAGUAGAUAACUGAAGUAUAAAAUUACUUUUCAGUGAUACGUGGGCCCCCAACUGACCAAGAAGGUGUAGGGCUACGAACCCUUACUUUCUAGGAUGCAACUCCGAGAUUAAUUCUCGUCUUAAUCAACUAUCAACAAACUGUCUUGAGCCUGAAAAAUGGAUAGAAAGAGGGGUGAGAUUACAUAAUCCCAGUGAGUAAACAAUUACCAUCAAAAACAUCUAAAGCCGAGUAGACGGAGACAAUAUAAAAACGUUAUAUCUCAAUAAUGUUCAUAACGCAAAAUUCGUUUCAAUCUAUACCAAACAAUUUCUUUUCGUCAAAAUUUCCCGGCUUAUGAAUUUCUUAAACUUGGCCCUUGCCAGAAUCAUUCUUGCGGGUACCUUCGUCAAGGUAUCCCACUGAGACAGCCAAGGCUGUUAAAUGUCCCAUACCCAUAAACAUGUUUUCGCAUCUGACACACAGCCGUUCCUUGGCGUUGGCUGAGUCUCACUCUCAAGUGGUGGCUCGAACGUGAGGUGCACUCGAAUCUUACCUCAAGAGAUACUUCAUCCAACAUCUCUCCCCAGAGGUAGGUAUAUAGUUGGGUUACCGUGCCCCUCUCAUAGGCAGUCCACGGAAACCCCCACCACUGCAGUGACCGUUUAAUAUACCACAAGACCCAUAAAAUUUUCAGUAGCAUAAUAUGGCGAAUAAAAUUUAAUCCAGUCUAUCAAGAUUAAUCCAAAACUGUUCAUAUAUGUCAUGUCAACCCCAAAAAUUUAGCCAUCAUGUUACCAUAGUGUCAUAAGCCACAAUUUCAAUAACAUAUAAAAUCAUAAAUUCAACACAGUCUCCAUAUACUCGAUUUUUCCAAAACAAUAUUUAAUUUCAAAACCAGUAUAAAUCUCAUUUUUAUUAAAAAAACAUUUUAAUUGGAAAACAUAAUAUUUUAUAAUUUAAACUCACCAUUCAAUAAAAGCAUCAAACAAGUAUAAUUACUCUAGAGAUUUAAGAUGAUAAAUUGUCCACUCACAGUACUAGGAGUAGAAAUACUCCAAUUUUCAGUCCGCGGGUACAGUCCUUUACCCGUAUCUAAUGGCUCACCACCUAGCCAUAAUCCAUGACACAUAUUCUAAUUAAAUUGUGUCUAACAGUUAUAAGCUAUUUCAAGCUCGAUAUAUAUGCAUGAUAUGAAAAUGAAAAAUACACGAGUAGCCAUCUAGACCCGGUAUUGGCCUAAGUCGAUUUUUCAUCCGAUAAAUUGGCCAAUGCGUCCAAUUUCACUCCAACUUGCUCCAUUUUUUUCCCAAUCCCUCAAUUCACGAAACACAAACUAAUUAACACAGAAUUAGGCAAAAUUUAUCUUCACUUUUCUUCUUAGAACUUUUGGCCAACAAUGGUACACUAACUCCAUGAUUUUUUCUACUUAAUUUUCUCUCCAUGAUUCAUUAAUUCCUACACAAAAAACUAUUAUUUCUUAAUCAAAUCACUUAUAAUAACAUCUCAUUCUUCCUCAUUAUUCACUUAGAGAAUUCGGCUAUUGAUGGACACCAAACUUUUGGUGGUUUUCUUCACUUGUUUUCAUGCUACACAUCAUUAAUCACCUAAAAACACUAACAUACCUAAAAAUCAAACCAAUCCAAGAUCAUUCUCUCUCCAUACCCAUUUUGACCAGCCAUGAAUUCACCAUGAAAGCAUGCUUUUCAACCAUGAAAAUUAAGGGAAAAUGCAUAGGAAAAAUAGUUCAUAAACUAAAAUCAAGAAAUUUCACCUUUUUCCACUUGAUUUUCUUGAAAAUCCACACUUUUCUCUUGAAUUUCUUUCCACCUAGGGUUUGUUCUUCUUUUCCCCUUUGUUUUCUUGCCAAAGCUGACCCUUAUGAGAGAGAAAUGGUGGUGUGGGCUGAUUUUUAUAGUUAAAUAAUAUAAUAAUUUAAACUUGCCACAUGGCAUUCCAUGAUUGGCCCAUUUUUUUAAAUUCUUAUCUUUUAAGAUUUAAAUCUCCACCACACAUUUUUCAAGGGUCAAAAAUGAUGAUGGGUGAAGACCUUGUGCUGGAAAAAUGCUCUCGGGGUGCAAAAUUACCAUUUUGCCCCCGAAGUGACAAAAUUACCAUUUCACCCAGGUACUCCAAAUUAUACCGAAAUUAAAAUUUUUUACUUCUAAACCUCAAAUCAUACUCCAAUAAGUCAAAUGGGGUCAAAAAAUCUUUUUUAAAAAUUUUAUUUUUGUCCCCAGGUGAUAAAUUACCAUUUUACCCUUAGAUAGUGAAAAUUUUGGUUUGACUCCAAAUUGAUCCUCAAACUCCGAAUUACCAUUUUGAGUCAUCCCUGGACUGUGAAACUCUUAAUUUCACCUUAAAAUUUCUAUUUGAACUAGUUCGAGGCUUAAUCGACUUAAUGGUACCAUUAGGGGCAAUAUCGUCUUUUAACAAUUUCUCGAACUUCCUAAAUAUGCAAACAUUCUAUUGAGCAUGUAAAUAACGUCGUAAUUAUUUUAUAGAACAGGGUUUGACAAGAAUUGUUUUAUAAAAAUAUCAGAGGUAUCUCAUAUAAAGCCUAUGUUUAUAGUUUUGGAAUAAUGUUAAUGGAAAUUAUGGGAAGGAGAAAAAAUUUAAAUGCCUCUACCUAAUAUUCAAGUCAAAUUUAUUUUCCAUCAUGGAUAUAUGAUGGAUUAGAUGAAGGAGAUAUCAUGGAGCUUGGAGAUGUGACAAAAAUUGAAAACAAAAUUAUGAGGAAAAUGAUAAUGGUAGCCUUAUGGUGCAUACAGAUGAAACCCAUAGAUCGUCCUUCAAUGAGUAAUGUCUUAAAGAUGCUUGAAAGUGAAGUUGAGAUCCUUGAAAUGCCUCCCAAGCCUUCUUUUUCUCGAAAUGUCAACUAAAAAUAGUAAGAAUUCUCACCACACACGCGACAAUCAGCCUUCCUCAACUACCUUGUGAUAUUCGUCAUUGGGACUACUAGGAUUUGACCUCAUGUUCAAAUUAGAAAAUAAUCAAUAAAUUAAAAAUAUAAUGCAACGAAAAAAUAAAUUAGUAUUUAAUCAUGAAACAGUCGAAUCUUACAAUAUCAAUGUUUGUGCUUUUCAUGUAACUUUCAAAUUAAUUAUAAACAUUCAUAAGUUUAAGAGUUACAAAUCUUGCUCCAUAUAUGGUAAUCAAGAGCCAAUUAAAUCCAAAAUCUUUGUUUCUUCACCUUUGGGAUUUGUCAAAUCUUCAGCCACCCAAGUGUUUGGCCUUUAACAGUAAUCCACACAGUGACCGAAUAUGACCUUCUCAAAGGUAGGAUUUUUUACUUGUGCUGGCAAGUUUUGUUUCAAAAAAAAAAAAAAAACCAAAAGUUCUUGCUAAAUCUUAUUUUUAUCAGACAAAAAAAAUAAUUUUUCUUUUCUUAUUUUAUGAAGCAACUGAAAAGUGGUUGGCGGCUUAGAGUUUUAGUUUGCUAAUAUAAUAUAUUUAUAUAACCGAAUUAAGUUGUAACCCUAAAAACAAUAGUUGUAUUUUAAUUUAAUUAGGUCUCUAAGAACUUAAUUAAUUUUGUACUUUAUUUUGGUCUCUUUCAAUUAAGUCCAACUUAAUUAAUUAUCCUCAUUUAAUCCCAAUCAUGUUACUUAAUGUGUUUGACCCAUUAGGCUUCUAACAUGUUGGCAAUAAAUAUAAAUAAUAAUCAAAUAUCAAUUUGAUAAUUAAUUUAUAUUUAUAGAUCAUAAGCGGCAUUUAGCAAUGUAUCGUGACCACCUAAAUGUUAGAGAGUUAAUUAAAGAAUUUGACAAAGCUUUUCAGUGAUAAGCCUCUUAGUAUAAUACAGUCCUUUCAUCAAAUAUCUCGGAUAUGUCAUUAAGCAUGGCUCAGUGUCUACUUAUAACAUUCGAUAUUAGUUCUCAUAAUUCAUGAUUAACUUUAUGAAUUUAGGAAACUAACUUUUCUCAAAUUCGUCAUGCUUUGGCCAAAGACUUUAUACAAGUUAAUCAAGAAUUGAGAACAAGUGAGAUACAUCCCCUCAUAUCACUUGGGGUAAUAAAUCCUCUCUUGACCACUCAUUCACCUUCGCAUGCUUCAUGGCAUAUCCAAAAGAGUACUUUUCAUUAAUGGGCCAGAGGCAUAAGGCGUUUUUAAGAAUGGUCUUCCUUAUAAUUUUAUCUUUUUUUAGCCAAGAGAAAAAAAAUUGGACAAAAUUAUCCUUAAUGAAACCGACCCAUUCACUAGGCUCCACACCUCAACCCGAAACCUAUUAACGGGUUAAGUAUGUUUAGGUUUGCGCCACAAACUGACUCAUAUUUUUUGAGCUUUCCUUACUAGACUAUUCAUCUCUAGAGUAUUCCUUACCAGAAAGAAAAACGUUUAAGUAUUGUGAGCAUUUUAGAGUAGUUUUUGAUACACGAAGAAAACUUGUGAGCGUUUUGAGCAUUUUUAAACAUUUUAGAGUGAUUUUUGAUAUAUGAAGAAAAACUUUCGAACAUUUUGAGCAUUCAUAUUUGUUAAUUAUGUUGUUAAAUAAAAUAUGGUGUAUCGUUUGAAGUUGUUGAUCUUGUUAAAUGGAAUUCAGUAGUUUUGGUGAUUUUUGAGAAUUAUGUGACUACUUUUUAGGCAUUGCGUGACUGACUUUGGAUAUUACGUGACUGACUUUGGGCAUUACGUGACUGAUUUUUGAUAAGGUAUUGCGUGACUAGUUUUUGAUAAGGCAUUGCUGACUAGUUAAUAGGCAUUACGUGACUGACUUUGAGUAUUGCGUGACUAGUUUUUGAUAAGGCAUUGCGUGACUAGUUUCUAAUAAGGCAUUGCGUGACUAGUUGAUAGGCAUUGCGUGACUAACUUUGGGCAUUGUGUGCCUAGUUUUUGAUAAGGCAUUACAUGACUAGUUUCUGAUAAGGCAUUGCAAGACUAAUUUAUAGGCAUUGCGUGACUUGUUAGUAAGGCAUUGCGUGACUUGUUAGUAAGGCAUUGCGUGACUUAUUAGUAAGGCAUUGCGUGACUAGUUUGUAGGGCAUUGUGUGACUUAGGCAUUAGUUAAAAAUCAGUCACGCAAUAUAUAAAAACUAAUCACGUAAUGCCUAAAACCAAUCAUGUAAUGACUAAAAACUAGUCGUGCGGUGAUUAAGUCACGCAAUACCUAAAAACCAGUAAACUCAAUUUUUGGUUCUAUGAAUAAACCAAUAAACUCAAGAACCUAAAACACAUAUUUUUUUUUUGCUAAGCCAUAAAAUUGUGCAUUUCAUAAAAAAUAGAUUACAAAACUCCAUAACCCUCUAAAACAAGAGAAAAUAUAUCCCUAUCGGGAGGUCUUGCUCACUCCCUUUAUCCAAAAACAAAAUAUACCCUCUUUACAAAAUAUUUUCUGAACAAUUUCAACUCAAAAUCCCUAGCAAACAUGCUUAACAAUCAUCCUAAUCCCAGACACAAUAAAACUGUGAACCACCAUAAAACCCAUCAAACAUGCUUUAGCUGUUCUUUCUCCAUAAGCAAAAUCACUGCCUGCAAAUAGCAAAAUCGUUGUUCAUCGCCCUUAAGAACCCCAAGAUCAACCAUCCAAAAAAUUAAAAUAAAAUAAAAAAGAGCUUGAUGUCAUAUCUACGAAUUGGAUGGCGAGAUAGACAUAUUUAAGCAGAGAGAGAAAUCAAGAUUUAAUUUUGAAAUUUUUAUCUAGAUGGCGAGGGAGAGAAAACUGAAACUAUUUUAAUCUGUCUGAAAUAGUUUAAAGGAUAUUAUUGUCAAGUCAUAGCAAAAAUUGACCAAAAAUAGUUAAAAUUAUAAAAAAAAUGAUAUUUUUGAAUUGAGCUUAUGAGGAAGGUUAUUUCUCACAAUUUCCUCUAUCCAAAAACAAUUUGUUUAGGCAUCUAGUCGUUUCCAAACCCGUUGGAGUGAAAUCAAAGUAUGUCAUUUCUUAUACAAGAUGACCUAGUGUCUCAAGUCUGAAGACUGGUUGCAUGACUAUCACAUGAGAAUAUUUUUCAUAGACAUUUGAGUGAAAUACCAAAUAGAGUUCUCAUAGCGGGUCAUGUUCAGUGAACUUAUUCUUUAACAAGCACCUACAUAUUAUCCUCAAGUAUCCCUUAUACUUCAAUCUAUAAAAUCGAUUGCUUACUUCCCAAGUAAGGAUGCUUAAUAUGUACCAGUCUUUGAGCAUUGUCAAUGCCCUGUCUUGACAAUACAAUGACCAAGAACAAUUUUAGAAACAUGGCUUUGAUGCAUAGUGAUCUCAUAAUUGUAACAACUUUACAAUUCUCUUGCAAGGCUUUUAUGUUCCAUUGGCUUCAUCAAAUUAGUACUUAAUAACUCCUUAUUAUUACACUAACAUGAAGGAAAACCUCUAUCACAUAUAAUUAUGAGAUUAAAUAUGCAUUAAAUGACAAUAUAUAUUCCUUGACUAAUAUAAUUAGCUCAAGGUUAUAUACCAAUAGGGACGCCACUCAACAUUGUGAUCUUACUAAAUCUGAUUAUUUUUUCUGUAUUUAGAUUUUUGAGUGGUACAUAGUUUUGUUUCCACCAAGAUCUAGCAGGCAGUGUUUGUAUUCUCUCUACUACCUUUGUUCGUUUUGUUUCUGCUACUUUUCUAUAUCCCUAUAUCUGAUCUCUGAUGAAAUAAAUCAUUUCCUCACUUGCAAAAAAUUUGCAAGAAAAUGUAAAUUUUAUUUUUCCCUUAUUUUAUACGAAGAAAAUAUGUUUUAUCUUAUAUUUAUAUUUUUAUGUAUGUAUGUAUGUAUCUAUAGUAUUAGUUGUUUAAACUUUUUAGGUGCAACUAAAAUACUUCUAACAAAAGAUUGUAUAGAGCAGCCAAAUUUGUAAUAAAAUAUUUUUAAUAACACAAGUUAACAAAAUUUUAAAUGCUAAAGUUAUUGUAGUGUGUUUUUUCCCUUCGGUUCUAGACUCUAAGCUAAUUGAAUUUUCAAAGAAAGAUUUGCUUUCAUUUGCAGCUACAGAAUGAUAAGCAGAACAACCAAGAUAAGAUUAUCUUAGUUCUUAGUUAAUCUUUCUUUUUAAACUUUUUUAUACAUAUACCAAAACAUGUAAAAUAUGGGCUAAUUGGUCCUUUUAGACUUAAUAGGUUGACGGUGAAAUUUUAAGACUACACAAUGAAUUUAUAGGAUUGCUCGAGUGAUUUUGUUUAUAUCUUAUUGGAGGUUUAUAUUAAUCUCUUAACUCAGACAAAUUACAAAGAUUCCUUUUCUGUCAGUUUCAUUAUCAAUCAGUUGCAUACGUUGUUUCUUCACUUAUUUCUAUUUGAGUGUAAAAUCAGCUAAGAGCUUUGAUUGGCUUUAGUUAGUUGACUUGACUGACUUUCGAAUAAAGACAAGUGAGCAAGAAUAACCGUACAUUUUCCCCAUGAGAUUUUCUAUGUGAAAAAAGCCAUACAAGUCUUAGAGGUGAGUCUUGACAAGGAUAACUCUCCAUUCCUCAUUAGUUCAUAUCCUUGCUACAUCCUUGGUGGAAAAAGCCUACCACUCGGUAGAAGAUUUGUUGGAAUCUAUACUAAAAAAGAUAAAGCAAAAUACACGAAAAAGUAAUAAAUAUUUAACAGUUAAUAACAAAAGAAAUAAGAAAGAGUGUUGAAUGUGAAACUUGGUUCAAAACACGUUAUGAAAGGCAUUGAUUUUAAAGUAGAUUUCCGUUGUUACCUCAGUGCAAAUAACAAUCAAUGAUGUCUUACUCCAAAGAUACAAGAACCACUCAAAGAUAUUCUAAUGUGCACUCAAAUAGAAAAUCUGGUAAACUUGUAAAUCUCUUAACUAUUCUUGAAGGAAUUUAGAAUGAAAAAAAAUAGAGUUUUUGGAAAUAUAAAAUGCUUUAAAUGAAUUUUUCAAAAAGAAAACCUAGGUAUUUAUAGAUAGUGAACCAUCACUAAUGUAUCUCUUCAUUUAGAUGCAUUUACUCAAAAGUGAACAAAUGUGUCCUUUUAUAAGUACAUACUUUUCUACAAUCAAAAGUUAUACCUCUUUCAACAAACAUAUUAAAUUUUGAGUCACUAAAAAUAAAAUAAAAAUUAAAAAUCCAACAAGAAUUGGUGUACAUCUCCCUUAUUAUACAUGCACCUCAAUAUAGGAUCAUAUAUCUCUUAAAUUGUAGGAUGAAAAUGAACUCUUCGGUUUACAUUGGUGCUUCUCAUUCCACCAAUCGGUGUUCCUCUACAUCUUUUGUUUCUUCGGUAUUUUACAUUGUUAAUGGGACAAUUUGAUAAAAAGAUCAAAAUAUAAUUCUUUGAAAAUAUUAUGUACAAUAUACAUGAAAAAAUAUUACGAAUUUAAUUUCUUUAAUUAUUGCGAGAGUUAUAAAAAUAAUUGUAGAAGCAAGUCUAAUGACCAUAGGCUUUAUUUGAAUAGAUAUUUUUCUUCUUUUUCGUGUCCAACUGGUCGUAACCUGUUUUCAAAUUUAAAUAAAUAAGAAAAAAGUAUCCAAGACUUUGAGUAUUUCAGAUAGUUAUUCACGAGCUUCACUAUCUUCAUGCAACAAAUUUGAAUUUUUAUUUUGGAAAGACAAUUUUGAAGUUUAGAUAUGCGUAAUUUUUUUUUUUUACAAAGUGAAAAUGUACAUAUAAAGUACAAGGAAAGAUAUACUUGUAUCUAUAUAAAAUUAAAUUAGUUAAACAGUCUUUUAUAUUUUUUAUACAAUUUAUAUUUUGUUAAUCCAACUGUUGAAAUUGUUAUAUUCAUAUAAAUCAUGCAUAACAGAUUUCAAAUUAAUAAAAAUGAUUAACUAUUUAUUUGAUAAAAAUAAAAUUCUAAUUGUGAUAUAAAAUAUAAAGAAAAAUAUACUAAGAAAAUAAUUGAGAGAAGAAUUGAGAAAAAAACUUUGGGUUCAUUUCUCAUGAGAAAAGAACUUCUGGUUCAUUUCUCAUUAUUUCUGAUUAUUAUUGAUUGUGAUUUUUUCAUUGAGUGCAAAGCUCUAUUUACAUUGAAUUGACUUUGAAACUUUACAUAAGUGAUAAGUAAAAGUUGUUAAAUCUAACAAAAAUAUUAAUUUCUUAGGAAGUUAUAUAAAAGUGUAAAACUAAUUAUUUUUACAUAUAUAAAUUAUUAAUUUAUCAUGAUUUAGGCUUUUGUGUGCGAUUUUUUCAUAUUUAACUGUAGUUGAAAAUAUGCAAUCUUUGAUAAUAUAUGCAUGUAAUAUUUUUGUUGGUGCAAAGGGGGUUUAUACGGUAUUCAAAAGAAUUAGCAAAAUUGACUUCAAGGUGAGCCUUUCAAAUAGACGUCUAUCUUUAAGACUUAUUUUGCCCCUACCACUUGAUAUGUAAAGGGGAAUAAUGCGAAUAGUCUCAAAGAUACAAUGAAGCAAACGUCUAACUUUCAUAUUGUACUUACGAAGUAGAUUGCUGGAUACACCCAAGGAUUUGCAAAGUUGCUUGGCCUUAGAACCAACUUUCUACAGCAAGUAGAUUGUAAGGAAUUCGGAAUAUCUUGUAGAUGAUGGAAACUUAAGUAUUUAUAUUUAUAAUAAAACACAACACUUAUCUUGCUCUUGACUUUUCUACUCUUGUCUUGUUUUUGAUUGUUUGGUGUGUUAAAAUGGUUGGCAACAAGCCCUUUAUAUAAGCUUCCAAGUGUAUUUUCUUCCAAGACACAACCCUUUCAUAAAGAUACCUUUUGUCUAAAAGGUAUCUCUACAUUUUUGCCAACACAACUUUUAGAUAAAGGUAUUGUUUCAAUAGUCACCUUACAAAAGAUAGCUAUUCAUUCCAUAAGGUAUAACCUUUGAGUUAUAACUUGAACAAUAACUUUUCACAUUUAACUUUUGAGCAUGUGGUGUCUUUUCAAUAUGUCUCUUAACUUUUGGAUGUCAUUUUUCAAAAAGACACAACUUUUCACAUGAAAACUUGCUUAUAUUCCAAUAGACACAUUAUGUCACUUUUCGUGACAUAAAUUUUGAGCUAAUGAUAGCUUUUCCAUCAUGUGACAUAACCUUUAAUUUUGAAAAAAUACCAACAAUCCCCCACCAUUUUCAAAAUUUUCAAAUACCAAUAACUUUGGGAAACUUAUGCAUAAAUGAAGGUAUCCUGCAGAUUUGAACCUUCACUUAGUGAGUGUGGUUGGUUCUAGUCUGAAUUGAGUGGUUGACCAAGCAUUGAACCAUCGAUUCUUCAUUGACUAGUCGGGUCACUAAACACACACAAGCUUCCUUGCACACAUUGUAUCUAGUUUUGACAAUACGUUUUAUGGCCUUCUGUUUUGUAUCCAUUCAUAAGUGCUGUCAGAGUCAAGCCUUUAACUCCUAGAAGUGGCCACAUUUCCACUCAUAUAGGUAGCCCCCAUCGAAAAUACCCCAUAAUUAUAGUACUUCAAUAUAUACAUGUUAUGGGUUUAUUAAGAACUUUCGUUCAACCUUACUUUACACAUUACAGGAACCAAGCACUAUACACCUUGGGAUGGAAAAUAUAACUUAGUGCUUGCAGUCACCAUGUGGUAGAAUGGUAAGUACCCGAGACUUGCAAGUCGGCUACAAGCUUCGAGGUGAUUUCCCACCAUUGGCAACUUAGUUGAUAAGCUUGAGACCUAUUCCUCUUGAGGUCUUUAUAACCAUAUCCUUUUUCAAACCUUUAGUAAAUGGAUCUACUAAAUUUUCACAGACCUCACAUAACUUAUAGUGACUAUACCAUCACUAAUUCUUUGUCGUCUUACAAUGCUAUGUCGAAGUCCAAUAUAUCGACUCUUCCAUUGUAAGCUUGAUUAUAUGCUUUUGAUACAGUUGAUUCAUUGUCACAAUGUAUCAAGAUUGGUGCCGUUGGUUUAGGCCACUACGAAAUUUGAUAGAGUAAAUCUCUCAACCAUUCCGCUUCUUGGGUGGCAAAUGCUAAGGCUAUAAAUUUAGUCGCCAUGGUGGAGUCUGCUUGACAAGAUUGUUUCUUAGAACCCCUAGAAACAGCACCCCCACCAAUUGUAAAAAUCCAACCAAUCGUGGAUAUGUACUCUAUUCUAUUUGAGUUCCAACUUGCAUUUGUAUACCCUUCUAAAACCGAAGGAAAACCUGAAUAGCAGAUGCCAUAAUUCUUUAUACUCUUUAAGUACCUUAGAACUCUAUGAACAACAUACCAAUGUUUUUUACUCGGAUUACUUGUAAAUCAGCUUAGCAUCCCAACCGCAAAAGCAAUAUCCGGCCUUGUACAGACCAUUGCAUACAUAAGGCGUUCAAUCACCUUUGCAUAUUCAUUUUGUGCUAUUGCCUUGUCUUCGUUAGGUAUUAGCCUUAGAUUAGAAUUAUAAGGCAUAGUCAUUGGCAUACAAUCUGACUUGCCAUACUUCAUUACAAUCUUUUCGAUGUAAUGAGAUUGAGACAAUGUUAGGCCAUUAUUGUCUCUUAUUAUUCUUGUACCAAGAAUAACAUCUGCCAUACCCAUAUCUUUCAUGUCAAAAUUCUUUGACAAGAACAUUUUUGUGUCUUCCAUUUGUUCCAAAUCGGUACCAAAUAUUAACAUGUCAUCUACAUAUAAACAAAUGAUGACACCUCUACCAUUAUGGAACUUACUAUAGACAUACUUGUCAAAUUGAUUAACCUUGUAGCCAUUAGCUAGCACAACCUCAUCAAACUUUUGAUACCAUUGUUUGGGUGCUUGUUUUAAUCCAUACAAGGACUUUACAAGCUUACAUACUUUCCUUUCUUGACCAGAAAAGACAAACCCUUCAGGUUGUUCCAUAUACACCUCUUCAUCUAACUCACCAUUUAGGAAUGUUGUUUUAACAUCCAUCUGGUGAAUUACCAUCUUUUAUAUAGAUGCAAGUGCUAUAAGCACUCUAAUUGUAGCUAUUCUUGCUACCAGUGCAUAUGUAUCAAAAUAAUCAACACCUUCAUUUUUUUUAAAGCCUUUGGCUACUAGCCUUGCUUUAAACUUUUCUACGGUUCCAUCAACUUUCAUUUUCUUUUUGAAAUCCACUUACAGCUUAUUGGCUUGGAACCUGGUGGAAGGUCUACCAAUUUCCAAGUUUUGUUUCCCAUUAUUGAGUCCAUCUCAUCUUGUAUUGUUUCUCUCCAAAAUGAAACAUCAUGAGACUUCAUUGUUUCAUAAGUUUGAGGAUCACCUUCACCUUCUACAUGAAAGCAGUAAGGUAAGUAUUCACAUGUUUCCUCUCUUGUACCUUCUACUAAGUACAUGAGGAAAUUGGAUCCAUAUGUUUUUGCUUACUUAAUUCUUUUACUUCUUCGAAGCUCAAUAGUUUUCUCAUCAUUUUUUGAAGGCUUAUCACAUUUUGUUACUAGGUCUUUGGGUCUUGGAAUUGAAUUGAACCUUGUUUCAUCAAAGAUAACGUCCCUCGAGUCUAUGACUGUAUUAACAGAAUAUGAAUAAUUGGGCUCUAUCACCAUGAAACGAUAUGCUUUACUAUGUCCAGGAUAUCCUAUAAAUAUACAUUCAAUUCCUUUUUCACCCAAUUUCCUUUUUUUUUUUGCUCUGAAACUCUUACCAUGGCUCGACAUCCCCAAACUCUUAAAUAAUUAAGAUUUGGCUUUCGCUCUUUCGAUAGUUCAUAAGGAGUAGUUUUGCUCCUUUUGUUUGAGAUUCUAUUUAGUAUAUGGCAAGCCGUUAAUAAGGCUUUGCCCCAAAAUCCUUUUCCCAAACUUGAAUUAGAAAGCAAAGCAUUGACCAUUUCCGUAAGAACUCGAUUUUUACGUUCUGCUACACCAUUUUGUUCCGAUGUGUAUGUAGUGGUAGUCUCGUGAAUAAUUCCAGUGGACUCAAAAUACUUGGGAUCAUAAUAUUCACCUCCUUUAUCAUUUCGUAAACAUUUAAUAAACAAUUCACAACACAAUUCAACUUCUCUUUUAUAAAUUCUAAAUUUCUCCAAUGUUUCAUCUUUAGUAUGCAAUAAGUAAACAUAGCAAUAUAUAGAUAAGUCAUCAAUAAAUGUUACGAAGUAUUUCUUUCCACUGAUAGAAGGAGUACUAUGCAUGUCACAAACAUCAGAAUGUAUUAAUUCAAGUAAUUUUGUGCUUCUUUCUACCUUAGGAAAUGAACUUCUUAUGAUUUUAGUAACCAUGCAUGUCUUGCACAUAUCAUUAUUUUCAUCAAUGUUGGGUAUUAAUUCUAAUUUAGCCAUAUCAUGCAUUCUUCUAUAAUGAACAUGACCUAAUCUAUUAUGCCAUAGAUUAGUUGGGAUUGCUUUACUAUCAUGAACAUUGAACGAGGCAUUAAUAUAAGUAGAACUAGUAAGAUUCUUAUUGACAUUAAGCUUGAACAUGUUUUUACAAUAGUAUCCACUUCCCACAUAAUGUCCACCUUUUGUAAAGAUGAACUUAUCCUCUUCAAAUAUUAAUUUGAAACCAUACUUAUUCAACAAGCCACCUGACACAAGGUUCUUUCUAACUUCUGUAACAUAAUAGACAUUGUUUAGUACAAGUAUCUUUCCAGAAGUAAACAUAAGUUCCACAGUGCUUUUUCCUUUCACUUGUGUAGUGGAGGAAUUUCCCAUGUAUAGUACAUUUCCAUUAUUAACUUCUUUCAAAGUCUUAAAAAAGCUUUUGCUGUUGCAUGCAUGAUUAGUUGCACCAGUGUCAAUCCACCAUGCUCCAUCAUCUUGGAGAAGAUUGACCUUAGAAACCAUAGUCAUAAAUUUGUUGUGGUUCACACCUUGUGUCUUGUUUCUCAAAAGUCUACAUUCCGCCUUAAAGUGACCAAGUUUGUUACAAUGAAAACAUGGCCCUUUUUUGUUCCUUUUAAACUUAUGACAUUUGUCAUUCAUACCCACGAAAUGUUUUCUUUUGUUGCAUAAAAAUGGCUUGUUUAAUGGUUUGUGUUCCAUCACAUGGACCUUUAAAGUCUCAAGAUUCUUUUCAUUAGAAUCUUUUUCAUCUUGCUUGACUUCUUCUUGCUUACAAUAAUCUUCUUCUAUUUGAAGAUGAUUACCAAGCUCUUCGACAGACAUAUCCUCUUUUCUAUGUUUUAGGAAUUUCUUUGUGUCUCUCCAUGAAGGGGGAAGUUUAUCAAUUAUUGAAGAUACCACAAUAGCUUCAUCUAUUUUAAGACCAUAUUGCUUAAAGCUAUUGAGAAUGUGUUCAAGUUCAUGCAAUUGUUCCAUAACAAAAUGAUUAUCAACCAUUUUACAAUUAUUGAAACAACUAACCAGGAAUUGUUUGCUGCUUGCAUCUUCCGUCAUGUAUCUUGCUUCCAACUUGUCCUAAAGUUGCUUUGCACUAGCUUCGUUCUGGUACGCAUCGAACAAAGCAUCCGGCAUUUCAUUAAGAAUGUGUCCCAUGCAUAUGUAGUCAUCAUUAUCCCAUUUUUGCCUUGAACAAGUUCUUUUCACGGAUUAUUCACCAUCUUCUUCACUUGGUCGUGGUGUAUCUAGAACAUAAGCGACUUUAAGAGUUAUGAGUAGGAAGUGUAUCUUUUCCAGCCAUCAAAUGAAGUCUCCUCCAUCAAAGCAAUCUAACUUGACAAUGUUGGUAGUUAUCUCUUUGAGUGAAGCCAUUUUGAAUACCACGAAAAUAAGUCUUAAAACUAUUGGUGCGAAGGGGGUUUAUACAAUAUUCAAAAGAACUAGCAAAAUUGACUUAAAAGUGAGCCUUUCAAAUAGACGUCUAUCUUUAAAACUUAUUUCGCCCCCACUAUUUGGUAUGCAAAGAGGAAUAAUGUGAAUAGUCUCAAGGAUACAAUAAAGCUAAUGUCUAACUUUCAUAUUGCCUCACGAAGUAGACCGCUAGAUACACUCGAGGGUUUGCAAAGCUUUUUGGCCUUAGAACCAACUUUCUACAACAAGUAGAUUGUAAGGAAUUCAGAAUAUCUUGUAGAUGAUGGGAACUUAAGUGUUUAUGUUUAUAACAAAACACAACACUUAUCUUGCUCUUGACUUUCUGCUCUUGUCUUGUUUAUGAUUUUUUAGUGUGUUAAAAUGAUUGGCAACAAACCUUUUAUAUAGGUUUUCAAGUGUCUCUUCUUCAAGGAUACAACUCUUUCAUAAAGACACCUUUUGUCUAAAAGGUAUCUCUACAUUUUUGCCAACACAACUUUUAGAUAAAGGUAUUAUUUCAAUAGUCACUUUAUGAAAAGAUAACUAUUCAUUCCAUAAGUUAUAACCUUUGAGUUGUAACUUGAAACAAUAACUUUUCAUAUUUAACUUUUAAGCAUGUGGUGUCUUUUCAAUAUGUCUCUUAACUUUUGGAUGUCAUUUUUCAAAGAGACAACUUUUUACAUGAAAACUUGCCUAUAUUCCAAUAGACAUAUUAUGUUACUUUUCGUGACAUAACUUUUGAGCUAAUGAUAGCUUUUUUGUCAUGUGACAUAGUCUUUAAUUUUGAAAAAGCACCAACAAUUUUUGUUCAAAAUAUUACCAAAAAAUUAUAUAUAACUGUGAAAUCUAUAAAGCACCCGAGCAUUUAGCUCAUUGGUUGGAGUAUGAUCUUCCUGUCUAAAGAGUAGGGUUCGAAUCCCCCCUCUCCCAAUUAUAAAAAAAAAAACUGUGAAAUAUGUAAAAGUUCUAUGCAAAUGGAUUUCUAACAACAAAAGUUAAUGAAAUAAAUAAAUGCAAAUUUAUUAUAGCGUGUUUUUUCCACUUGUUCAAAGGAAGAUUUGAUUUCAAUUGCAGCCACAGAAAUAAUUAGCAAAGCAAUAAAGAUAACACUAUCUUAACUCUUUUUUAAUCUUCCUCGUUAAACUGUUUUAUACAUAAUAUUUAAAAAAAUGACUUUUUUAUACUUACAAAAAAUAAAUAUAAGAUAUGGAAAUUGAUUUUUUUUUGAAGAGGAAAUUGAUCUAUUUUAUUUAAAUUAUAUUUUAUAUAUUUGCGAUGAAAUUUUGAAAUUCCAAAUUUUAUAACAUUAUUUAAGCGAUUAAAUAUAUAUAUAUAUUUAUUUAUUUAUUUAUUGAGGUGUUAUAUUAAUCUCCCUACCGUACAGAUAUACUUGGAUGAAUUAGAAAGAUUUCUUUUCUGUUAGUUUCGCUACCAAUUGGUCGGACAGAUUUUCUUCUUUCUUGUUUGAUUGCGUGGAAAAUCACCCAUCAGUCAUUGAGUUCUAUGAUAGGCUAUGUGUUAAACGUGUUCUGCGGUUUGGGAUUUAAUGAGUUGACUGACUUUUCAAAAGACGACAUGAAAAGAAUUAUUAUUUAAAUAUAACAUAUUUAAAUAAAUAUAUAUAUUUAUUUAAGAUAUGGAGAUUGAUCAAUUUUAUUUAGAAUUAUUAUUUUGUAUAUUUGCAAUGAAAUUUUGAAAUUCCAAAUUUCAUAACAUUAUUUAGGUCAUAUUAUAUAUAUAUAUAUAUAUAUAUUAUGUUAAGGGGUUACAUUGAUCACUGUGCGGAUAUACUUGGAUGAAUUGCCCAUGAGUGCUAUGGUAGGCUUUGUGUUAAAUGUGUUUUCUGGUUUGGGUUUAAUUAGUUGACUGACUUUUCAAAAGAAGACUUGGUUUUAACAAUAAAUCCAAGAUAACAUCAUCAUAGUGCGUCUUCACAAACUAAGCCCUUAAUCCCUUUCUCUCGCGCUGAAAUUUUAGGAUGCUAAGAGCAAAACUUCCAUUAUUCGGCCUUCUGGCCCUUGCUUUAUCUCUGUUCCCUGAUGCAUGCAUCGCUAGAGGCAAACACAAGCACUGUGGCUCUUCUUUCUGUGGAAACAUUAACAUCACUUACCCUUUUCGAUUAAAAAGUCAGCCUCGUAGUUGUGAUUACAAUCGUUAUGAACUAGUAUGCGAGAAUAACCGCACCAUUUUCCCCAUGAAAUAUGGGAAUUUCUAUGUCCAACACCUCUCUUAUAGUGACAAAACCAUUCAACUUUUAGACGUGAGUCUCGGCAACGACAACUGCUCCAUUCCUCAUAGUUCCUAUCCUUGGUACACCCCUUUCGCGAAAGAACUACAUCUCUAUCGAGCCACCACUGAAUAUAGCGUCAUGUAUCUCAUAAAUUGCACGACGCAGAUCAACAACUCUUCCGUUUAUAUCGAUGCUUUUCGUUGCACCAAUACCCCUUCCUCCUCUCAACCUCCGUACUUUUACUUUUUGGAUGAAAAUACAGCACCGUCUGAAUUCCAUGAGUCAUGCACUGUUGAAGCCCGGGUUCCAAUCAUGGUUGCCAGUAUCACCGGCCUCUCUACUUUUGAUAUUUACACAAAGCUGUUAACGGGAUUCCAACUCUCAUGGUCGACUUCCUAUGAUGAUUAUGUUUGGCUGCGGUGGGACUCAAUUGUUAACGUGUGAGGAUUUUUUUAAGUAUUGCGAAAUAUUUGGUGUUGUUUAGUUUUUGAAAAAAUAUUAAUUAUUUUUAGCAUAAAUAUGAUAAAUAAACAAAUAUGAAAUUUUUUAGUUUUUAAUUCUUUUUAAAAAGUUGACUAUAUUUCUUUUGAAGAGCAAAGUUGACAAUAUUUUUAAAUUACUUUUUUCACUAUGUAUAUAAAUUUGUAUCUUACCCAUUAGUUAUUUACUUAUACUAUAAAUAUGCUUAGUGUAAAAUUAAAAUAGAAGGAUUUAAAACAUUUUCAACAGUAAAAGUGUGCAUUUCAUUUGCCUUAUUAAGGAUUAACGUUUUUGAUGUGCUUUCUUGAAUAUUAAUUAUAGAUUGCUAUCCUUGCUCCAACUGUUGUUGCUUCCGCUGGCGAUAUAUAUUCAAAGCAACCUGGCUUUUUUCCUACCAGAUUAUUUCCUUGCACCUUAUAAAGGUAUUCUUUCUUUUCUGAGUUCAUUACUAAUUUGAGUAUUAUUUUAUUUGCCUUUACUUUCCUAGUAUCUACUAACACUUAAUUUUCGAAUUGGUAAUAUCUUAGGAGGAAUCCAGAUUCUUUGUCUUGCAAUAACAGGUACUAAAUUCUACACUUAUUUUUUUAUUCUUAAAUUCUAUAAUUAUUAUUAUAAUGAUAGUAGGAAUCUAAGAUCCAGAUUUACAUCUAUAAUAUUUUAUCAUUACAAUAAAUAUCAAGCAUAUCGAACAGAAGACUAUCCUUUCUCAACAAAAACAAAAAAAAGUAGAAUAUAAUUAGAGGAGAGAAAUCAUUGAGACCUAGUUUAGCGUUAGAAAUUUUUAUUUGUAAACCUAAUUAAGUUUUACAUGCCUUUUAUAUUUUUUUGUACGAUUUAUUUUUUGCUAAUUUAACCAUUGUAUUUCAUGCUCACUUAGAUCAAACCAUGCCUAAUUGUGGGUCAACUGAACAUGCCUAAUUUUGAUAACUAUAUAAUUUUAACUUUUGAAAAUUAUAUAUUGAGAAAGACAAUAUUCUCGACCAAUAGGAUGUGACUAACGCAUUGACUUGAAACUUUACAUGUAUUAUGAGUAUGAGUAAAAUUUUAAAUUCAAUAGUUGGUUUGUUAAAAUAUUAAUCGUAUAUGAAAUUAUAAAACGUUGUAAAAAUUAAUUAAUUUUACAGUGCUGUAACUUGAUCCUCUUUCAUAUGUGUGCAUGUGUAUGUCUGAGCAUUGCAUAUAUGUAUAUGUAUCUACGCAAGAGACUACAUACAAGAAAGUCCACCAUAAAUGAUUCAUAAAUAGUUUUGAACUACAUUAAUUAGGUUUUUUUUUAACUAGGUAUUUUUAUGAUGUUGUGAUGUUUUUUUUUGGUCAAAAUAAAAUUUAUAUGGGAUAAGGUCUAAAUUUACCAUUCUAUUUUGGACAAUGGAUCAAACGCAUCACCAUCUUUGAUCGGGUGUAAUUUUCCACUAUACUUUUAAAUUAAUUAAAAACUAAUCAAAAGUUAAAACUAACGUUAGCUUUUGACCAAUUUUGAAGUAAACUAAAAUUUAUAUUGAUAAAAAUUCCACUAGUUUAAAAAUAUAUAAUAAAUUUGAUUCAUCACCUUAAAUAAAGUGGUGGUAAAUUUUAAUUUUAUCCCAAAUUAUGUUAUGAAUUUUGUUUGGGAAAAUAUGGCAGCACAUGCCCAUGUUAAAUUACUAAAGGACAUGUGCAUAAUAUAAAAUUAUGUUGUCCAACUAAUUAAUUUAUACAUUGUUAUUUUUUUUUUGGUGAAACAGGAAUUCUAUUACUAAGAACUUUUUUGGGAAUAUCAUGCUUGAUUGCAUUGGUUAUACGCAAAUUAAGAAAGAGGCAUUUGUCGAUGGAUGACGAGAUUGAGAAUUCUCUUCAGAGUCAUAACAAUUUAAUGCCUAUAAGAUAUUCUUAUUUUGAAAUAAAAAGAAUGACGGAUGGCUUCAAGAAUAAAUUAGGUCAAGGAGGAUAUGGCUCUGUGUUUAAAGGAAAACUUCGAAGUGGUCAACUUGUUGCAAUAAAAUUGUUAAACAAAUCAAAAGCUAACGGCCAAGAUUUCAUCAAUGAAGUUGCAACUAUUGGAAGGAUUCAUCAUGUUAAUGUGGUAAAACUUAUUGGAUUUUGUGUGAAGGGAUCAAAACAAGCUCUUGUAUAUGAUUUCAUGCAGAAUGGGUCCUUAGAUAAAAUAAUAUUUUCAACUGAAAGUAACACUUUGAGUUGGCAAAAAAUGUUUGAGAUUGCAUUGGGAGUGGCUCGAGGUAUUGAAUAUUUACAUAGAGGUUGUGAAAUGCAAAUUUUACAUUUUGAUAUCAAGCCACAUAACAUUCUUCUAGAUGAGAACUUUACUCCAAAAGUUUCAGAUUUUGGCCUCGCAAAGUUGUAUUCAGUGGAUGAUGAUAUUGUUUCUCUCACAGCAGCACGAGGUACGCUAGGAUAUAUGGCUCCUGAAUUAUUUUAUAAAAAUAUUGGAGGCAUCUCAUAUAAAGCUGAUGUUUAUAGUUUUGGAAUGAUGUUAAUGGAAAUUGUUGGAAGGAGAAAAAAUUUGAAUGCCUCUGCUGAAUAUUCAAGUCAAAUUUAUUUUCCAUCAUGGAUUUAUGAUCGGUUUGAAGAAGGAGACAUCAUUGAGCUUGGAGAUGUGACGGAAAAUGAAAACAAAAUUAUGAGGAAAAUGGUAAUAGUAGCCUUUUGGUGCACACAGAUGAGGCCCACAGAUCGUCCUUCAAUGAGCAAAGCCUUGGAGAUGCUUGAAAGUGAAGUUGAGCUCCUUGAAAUGCCUCCCAAGCCUUCUUUCUCUGGAAAUGUCAACUAAAGAUAGUAAGAAUUCAAUAAACAUAAUAAAUCACAUCAUUUAUUACAAAAAUAUUAAGAAAUAUUUAAUAUAUAUUUUGUGCUAAGCAAUGUUUCACUACUUUAUUAUAGUACUUUUAUAAUUUUUGCAGUCUUGCUUAUCAUCUUAAUUCUUAUAUAUAGAAUCUGAAAUAUAUAGAAUCUUGAGUUGAUUGAUGCUGGCCUGUGUUCUCUUUUUCUGGUGGUUGAAAAUAUUUUCAAGUCAUAUUUUUCUCUUGUGCUUGUUGCGGUUUGGUUUUGUUUUUUUUUUUUCUGAUUUGUGUUUUGGUUUGGCUUUUUGCAUCAGUGGUUGUGAUUUCUGAUCUUUGUCUGUGUCUCCUAAUGCGUUUUCAAGGUGUUCUGAGGGGUUGAGUUGCGAUUUAUUCCAGGGUUAGAAUGGUUGAUGUGCUUUUGUUGAAGCCAUGAUUCCCCCUUGAUUGACUUUCUUCUGAGGCUCUUCCUUUGAAUGAUUUUGUCUCUCCUCUGUUGCUUUGAUCGUCAUGUGUUUCUCGGUUUGGCUUGUGAUGUUGAUUUUUGAGUUGUUGAUUUCCUGUGUCGUGGCGAUCUUGGUUUGUUUUAUGUUCAAAUCUUGCAUGGGGUUUUUGUGUUUUGAUUGGACCUUGGCCUUUUUUUUUGGGAGGUUUGUAUUUGCUAGUGAUUAUCUCCAUCCUUCUUUAGUGGAGACUUUUCACAGCUUUUUUGUACUCCUUUCGUAUUAACUCAAUGUGCUUUGCGUUUCAAAAGAAAAAAAAAAGGAUAGAAACCUUAAGCUUGAGGCAUAACCUUCUCUCUUAAUAUGCUCAAAAAAUCUUAAAACAAGCAAUAUGUUGUAAAAUAUAACUUUAAAAGAAAAUAUUAGAGAGAAGUAGUAAGAAUGUAAGAAAAUGUUUUAUUUCAUUUCUUGUUUUAGUGCAUCUAUCAACCAUCAACUACAAUGCCUUUAUUUAUAGGCACACAUAGAUGGAGAGGAAAUGAAUUUACAUAAAUAGAAAGGAUGAACUUAAUAGAUAAAAAUGUACAUACACUGAAUGAAACCAGGAGAUAAAAAUGUAAUGACAUAAAUAUGUACAUUGGAUAUGGGGAGAUACAUUAGAUAUUAUAAAGUACAAUAGAUAUUCACAUAUAUUUAUAACACUUUCCCUUAAAUGUUCAUUGUACUACCUCAUUAAAAACCUUAAGCCGGAAAAAUCUAGUAGGACAAAAACUAAUCAGAAGGAAAAAAGAGUAUAGUGGAUGGUCCAUAUUUGCUCCCUUUCAAUUGAGCCAUAUUGCCACUUCUGGGGUCUAUCCCUUUAAUGUCCAUUAUAUUGUCUCAUUAAAAACCUUAAGUCAAAAAAAUACUAUGGCACAAAAAUACAGUGCACCCCCUCAAUUGAUCCAUAUUGCCACUCUAGUGGCAAAUUAAUCUUGCAUCUUGUUAACUUCUCCAUUCCAAUGUCAUUUACUAAUUUCUCAAAUGUUGAUGUUGGUAAUGAUUUAGUAAAAAGAUCUGUAAGAUUAUUGGUGGAGCGAAUUUGUUUAAUGUCAACUUGUCGACUUUCCCAGAAUUCAUGAGUGUAGAAAAAUUUUGACAAGAUAUGCUUGAUCCUAUCACCUUUAAUAUAUCCUCCCCUAACUUGUGCAAUGCAAACAACAUUAUCUUUAUAAAGUAUAGUCAGAGAAUUCGUAAGUGGUGUUAAACAACAAGAAUUAUGAAUAUGCAUUAUAACAAAUCUCAACCAAACACACUCUCUUCUAACUUCAUAUAAGGCGAUAAUCUCAAAGUGGUUGGAGGAUGUAGCUAUUAGCAUUUGUUUAGUAGAGUGCCAAAAAAUGGCAGUGUCGUUAUAGCAAAAUAAAUAACUAGUUUUGAAAGCAAGGCUUUUACAGAUUAGAUUUACAUCCUGCAUCAGCAAAUCCAACUAAGCCAAAGUUAGUGGAAUCCUUGGAAUAAUAUAAUCUCAAAUCUAUAGUUCUUCUGAGAUAACAAAAAAUGUGUCAUGACCCGGAACUCCCAUCGAGCCCGUGACAACCGCCGCGACGUCCCGAUAGACAUUCAUUACUCGAAAUGUCAAUCGAAACCUCGCAAGGCUUAACAUCAGUUUUUCUCACUUCCCCCAUGAGUAUUAGUUACUAAAAUCAUGUUUUGAGAGAUUAUAAACUAUUUCCAAUUCAAAACAAUAGAAAAAUAAUUUUUUCCUCACAGGGGUAUUUUGAUCAUUUUUCCUCAAAAAUCUCGAAAUCCACUAAAAUGUAGUAAGCAAGUACAAAACACAUAAUUCAUAAUCAAAAAUGAGUUUUAAAGUCUAAAAUCUUCAUUUAAAACGAAAUUUUGAUUAUUUGGAUAUAAUAAGAAAAUAAAAGAAAUAUUAAGUAAAAUAUUCUAUUUUCUUAUAAAAUAAUAUUUAUAGAGUUAUACGUAAAUAAUUUUUGUAGCGUAAAAGCUAAAUAAAUUCAUACAUACUGUAAUACAGUAAGUCAGAGUAUUUAAUUUAAUUUGCAAUAACAAGUGGGCCCCCGAAUAACCAAAAGUAAAGAGGACAAUUGUCACGACCCGGAACUCCCAUCGGGCCUGUGACAACCGUCGCGACAUCCCGAUAGGCACUCAUUACCCCGAAUGUCGAUUGGAACCCUACAAGGCUUAGCAUCAGCUUUCGCAUCUCCCCGGUGAGCGACAGUUAUUAAAUCUUGCAUUUCAAGAAAUCAUAAGUCGUUUCCAAAUCAAAACAAUAAAAUAUUAUUUUCUGGCUCACAGGGGCAUUUUCGUUAUUUUUUUUUGAAAAUACCGAAACCCACCAAAAACAUGGUGUAAAAGCUAAAUAUGUUCAUACAUAUUUUAAAUCAAAUAACUAAAAUACAAAUUUACUUUUACAAUGACACGUGGGCCCCUAACUAACCAAUAAGAUGCGAGUCUGUGAACCUAUAAUUUUGACAAUGCAAGGCUAAUUGAAGUCCUUGAUGCAAUUGGCUAUCUACCGGCUAUCUCGAAUCUGAAAUGUGGGGAAUUGAGGGUGGUGAGAUUAUAAAAUCCCAGUGAGUAAACAGACACCAUCUAAACUAUCUAAAGGUGAGUAAAUGGAGAUAAUUAAAAAAUAAUUAACUUCGGUAAAUUUUUUACAUCACGAAUAUUCAUUUCAACCAAAUAAUCAAUAUGGCUCGUGAAUUACUCAAAACUUGGCUCAUGCCAAAUCCUGUACUCGGUGACACUUGGACUAGGGGUAUCCAACCGAGUCCGCCAAGGCUGUUAAAAAUUCAUAUUUCGCAUAAAUCAUAUUUUUAUUUCGAAACAUAGCCGUUCCUUGGCAUUGGCUGAGUCUCACUCUCACGCGGUGGUCCACAUUAAGUGCACUCAAAAAGCCCACCUCAAGAGAUACCCUACGCGCCUCUACGACCGAGGUGAGAAUAUAAAAGAGUUUACCGUGCCCCUCUAAUANNNNNNNNNNNNNNNNNNNNNNNNNNNNNNNNNNNNNNNNNNNNNNNNNNNNNNNNNNNNNNNNNNNNNNNNNNNNNNNNNNNNNNNNNNNNNNNNNNNNNNNNNNNNNNNNNNNNNNNNNNNNNNNNNNNNNNNNNNNNNNNNNNNNNNNNNNNNNNNNNNNNNNNNNNNNNNNNNNNNNNNNNNNNNNNNNNNNNNNNNNNNNNNNNNNNNNNNNNNNNNNNNNNNNNNNNNNNNNNNNNNNNNNNNNNNNNNNNNNNNNNNNNNNNNNNNNNNNNNNNNNNNNNNNNNNNNNNNNNNNNNNNNNNNNNNNNNNNNNNNNNNNNNNNNNNNNNNNNNNNNNNNNNNNNNNNNNNNNNNNNNNNNNNNNNNNNNNNNNNNNNNNNNNNNNNNNNNNNNNNNNNNNNNNNNNNNNNNNNNNNNNNNNNNNNNNNNNNNNNNNNNNNNNNNNNNNNNNNNNNNNNNNNNNNNNNNNNNNNNNNNNNNNNNNNNNNNNNNNNNNNNNNNNNNNNNNNNNNNNNNNNNNNNNNNNNNNNNNNNNNNNNNNNNNNNNNNNNNNNNNNNNNNNNNNNNNNNNNNNNNNNNNNNNNNNNNNNNNNNNNNNNNNNNNNNNNNNNNNNNNNNNNNNNNNNNNNNNNNNNNNNNNNNNNNNNNNNNNNNNNNNNNNNNNNNNNNNNNNNNNNNNNNNNNNNNNNNNNNNNNNNNNNNNNNNNNNNNNNNNNNNNNNNNNNNNNNNNNNNNNNNNNNNNNNNNNNNNNNNNNNNNNNNNNNNNNNNNNNNNNNNNNNNNNNNNNNNNNNNNNNNNNNNNNNNNNNNNNNNNNNNNNNNNNNNNNNNNNNNNNNNNNNNNNNNNNNNNNNNNNNNNNNNNNNNNNNNNNNNNNNNNNNNNNNNNNNNNNNNNNNNNNNNNNNNNNNNNNNNNNNNNNNNNNNNNNNNNNNNNNNNNNNNNNNNNNNNNNNNNNNNNNNNNNNNNNNNNNNNNNNNNNNNNNNNNNNNNNNNNNNNNNNNNNNNNNNNNNNNNNNNNNNNNNNNNNNNNNNNNNNNNNNNNNNNNNNNNNNNNNNNNNNNNNNNNNNNNNNNNNNNNNNNNNNNNNNNNNNNNNNNNNNNNNNNNNNNNNNNNNNNNNNNNNNNNNNNNNNNNNNNNNNNNNNNNNNNNNNNNNNNNNNNNNNNNNNNNNNNNNNNNNNNNNNNNNNNNNNNNNNNNNNNNNNNNNNNNNNNNNNNNNNNNNNNNNNNNNNNNNNNNNNNNNNNNNNNNNNNNNNNNNNNNNNNNNNNNNNNNNNNNNNNNNNNNUUUUUUUGUUUUAUUAAUUCCUUAAAUUCUAGCCAUCCAUUUAUUUCCAAAUUUUCACCAUACACUUGUCCCACAUAUCCAUAGCUUAGAUAAAAUUCUCAGACUUAUCCAAAGUCUUGGUGGAGUAAUUUUUUGAAAUUACACUUUUAUCCCCGUAAAAGUCAAAAAUUACAUUUUUGCCCCAAAAACUGAAAAAUUUCCCAUAGACAUAUUUUUCAUCCCUAAUACUCAUACCAUUCUCCAAUUUGUCAAAUGUGAUCUAAAUUCUCUCAAAAUCUCAAAUUUUGUUCGCAUAUGGAAAAAUUACGAUUUUGCCCCUACACUUCAGAAAUCACCGAAAUUAAACUUUUUCAUUGCCAAACUCUCAAAUUAAACUCUAAUAAGUUUAAUAUAAUCAAUCUUAAUCAAAUGGGAUUAAAAAUUUCCAUAUUCGUCCUCAAGUGGCAAAUUACCAUUUUACCCCUAAAAUACUUAAAGUUUGGAUUAACUCCAUAUCGGACCUCGAACUCUGAAUCCUCAUUUUAAAUCAACCCAUAGGUUUUAGUUCUCUCAAAUUCAUCCUCGAUUCUCUGUUUAAACUAGUUCAAGACUUAUUUGACUGAACCGUACCAUCAGGGGCAAUAUCGUCUUUUAAUGAUUCCUCGAACUUCCUAAACAUACAAACAUUCUAUUGAGUAUGUAAAUGACGUCGUAAUUAUUUUAUAGAAUCGGGUUUGACAACAGUGAACCUACAGUUUGAAGGAAUGCAAAUCCAAGGGUAGUCCUCGAUGAACUCAGCUAUCUACAGCCUAAUCUGAACCUGAAAUGGGUGAAAAAGAGAAUGGUGAGAUUUUAUAAUACCAGUGAGUAAAUAAACAUCAUUCAAAAGAUCUAAAGUCGAGUAAAAGGAGACAAUUAAAAUAUUUCAUCUCAAUAUGUAUUUCAUAACAUAAAUAUUCAUUUCAUUUAAAUAUUUAACAUGGCUUAUGAGUAUCUUAAAAGCUUGGCUCCUGCCAAAAUCAUUCUCGGGGAUACCUUGGCCGAGGCAUCUAACCGAGUCUGCCAAGGCUGUUAAAAAGUUCGUAUACACGUAAACAUAUUUUUAGUUUGAAAAACAUAGUCAUUCUUUGGCGUUAGCGGAGUUCAUCAUCACGAGGUGGUUCGACGUGACGUGAACUCUAUCCAUACCUCAAGAGAUACCUUACGCACCUCUCUGACCAAGGUACAUAUAUAUAUAUAUAUAUCUGGAUUCCGUGCCCCUCUAAUGGGCUGGUCCACAGAAUCUGCCUACUGUAGCAAGCUAAACCCACCAUACAAUAAAAUUUUGACAACAUGACAUGGCUAAUAUUUUACUAUCCAGCAUACAAGGGUAAAAUAAAACAAUUUAUAUAAUUCAUAAAACACAACCCAGCCAAUCAUGCCAACACAAUAACAAUAUAACAUAAGCCAUCAAUUUCCAAUCAUAAAUUUACAACAUACCGGUGGUCUCCAAUUACUCUAUUUUCAAAAUCGUUAUUUCGUUUCAAGACAAUUUAUAAAAUCUUUUCAUUUAAACAUAUUUUUGUUCAUUAAACCUAAAAUUAGCCAUUUAACUCAUUUUUCAUAAAAUUUCACCAAAAUCGAAUUAAAACAUACUUUAGAUAAUUAAAAUGAUAAUAAGGUUACUUACUAUUUCAAGAGUAGAAUUUCUAAAGUACUUUGACUACCGAUCCUCGAGUACAAUUUUUUUGCCUUUAUCGGAGGAUUCACCACCUAGACAUAGUACAAAAUCGAGAAACUUACUACAUUGGUACUAAAUCGAAAUUAAACUAAUUUAGACUACUAAUACAUGAUAUGGAAUGCAAAAAUGUCCGAAUAGCCGUUUAAAUACGGUAUUCGACCUAAUUCGCACUAUUCUCGUUGUAAUUGGCUAAAACCUCUAAUUUAACUCCAAAUCGAUUUCUUUCACUUUCUACACUCCAAUUAUACUUAAAAUACCUCAAUGAUUGUGAAUGUAAUUCAAUUUAUCUGUCCGAACCAUAAAUCUCACAUGUUUAUACAUUAGGUAAAAAUUCAAAUUUUCAUGCCAAAAUUUCUCAUUAAAUUUCUAGCCUCACCAAUCAUUAAAUACCGUCAAAAUAUCAUGAAAUAUCAUCAAUUUCAGCCUCAAUAUCCUCCCUAGAAAAUUCGGCCUCUUAUGGGUUUGUGAAGAACAAAGUGAUUUCUUACUAGAUUUUCAUACUUUCCAUUACUAAACAACCAAAAACACUUAAUUAACUUGAAAUCUAGCAAAAUUAAUGCUCAAAACCUCUCCUCUCAAAUUCGGCCAGCAUGGGUUCAUCAUGAAAACUUGAGUUCUAAGCAUGGAAAAUGAAAAAAAAAGCAUGGGUAGUGUAAAUCACAAGAUAAAAUCACAAAAUUUUACCUUUAUUAACUUAAUCCCUUAAAAUCCCACACUUUUUCUUCAAUUUUCCCACCUAGGUUUUGUUCUUUCUUUGUUCUUCUUCACUUCAUACUUUGGCCAGCCAUAAUGAAGAAAAUAGGCUGAUUUUUGCUGAUUUUAAAGCUAAAAAAAUAAAUGGAUAUAAACUUGACACAUGUCACCAUCCCAUUGGUCCAUUUUUUUAAACUUAACAAUUAAGCAAUCUCUCUCCACCACUUAAAUUUUCUUCAAUUAUCCAUGAUAAUAUUGGAUAAAAUCCAUAUGCUGGACAAGUGUCGGGUGUGUAAAACUACAAUUUUGCCCCUGAGGUGGCAAAAUUAUCAUUUUACCCCUAUGCUUCGAAAAAUACCGAGAUUACAAUUUUUUUCACUUCUCAACCUCAAAUCAUGCUUCAAUACUCAAAUCAUACUCUAAUAAGUCAAAUGGGGCCAAAAAGAUCUUUUCUAAAAAUUUUCAUUUUGUCACCAGGUGGCAAAUGACCAUUUUGCCCCUGGAUAGUGAAAAUUUCGAUUUGACUCCAAAUUGAUCCUUAAACUCCGAAUUACCAUCUUGAGUCAUCCAUGGACUGUGAAGCUCUUAAUUUCACCUUAAAAUUUCUAUUUGAUCUAGUUCAAGGCUUAAAUCAACUUUGUUGUACCUCUAGGUACAAUACUUACUUUUGUAAAUUUUUCAGGACUCUCCUAGCAUGCAAUCAUGCUAUCAUCACAUGUAUGUCAUGACAAGUAUUUUAUAAGGUUAAGCUUUACAAAAUAUGUUUUAUUCCAUUUCAAUGUCUCCAAGUUGGCUCAAAACAAAAACGUGCCAGCAAAUUUUCUACAAAAACGAUAUUGAGUCUCGUACAUUGUGCCAAGUACACCAAAGUCCCAAUUACAUUGAGAUAUGGUACUUUAGGAGCUAGUAUAUCCUCAUUAGGUUCUCUAGGAUGAAACGAAUCCUUUUGGGGAUUAAAAAACCUUAUAACCAUAAGGGUCUCGAAGGAUGAACCUCAUCCAUGUUAAAACGUUUAAGCAACCUCUCAAUAUAUGCUGACCGAUGGACAAGUAUUCCAUUUGCUUUGUGCUCAAGUUCUAAACUAAGACAAAGUCUGGUUUUACGAAAACUUUUAACUUCAAACUCCCUUUUCAAAUAUUCAACAGUUUUAGAUAACUCUUCUAAGUUCUAAUCAAAUUCAUAUCAUCGACAUAAACUUCUAUCAUAGCAAAUCCGAUUUUUGAUUUCUUAAUAAACACGCAUGGGUAGAUAGGAUCAUUUUUGUACCCUUCCUUAAUUAAGUACUUGCUUAAACGUUGAUGCCACAUGUGACAGGAUUGUUUUAACCCGUACAAAGAUUUUUGCAACUUUGUUGACAAUAAGUUACAAGGAGUGUAUGCUUCAGGCAUUUUGAAUCUCUCGAGAAUUUUCAUAUAAAUAUCGAAGUCUAAUGAACCAUAUAGAUAUGUCGUCACAAUGUCCAUAAGACGCAUUUCUAGUUUCUUAGAAACUACUAAGCUAAUAAGGAAAUGAAAGAUAAUCAUAUCCAUCACAGGUGAAUAUGUCUUAUCAUAAUCAAUCCCAUGUCUUUGAGAGAAACCUUGGGCAACAAGUCGGGCUUUAUACCUCACGACCUUAUUUUUCUCAUUUCGUCUCCUAACAAAUACCUACUUGUAUCCAAUGAGCUUUACAUUGUUAGGGGUUCAAGAUAUAGGCCCGAAAACUUCUCGUUUAGCUAAGGAAGCUAAUUCAGCAUAGAUUGCUUCCUCCCAUUUGGGCCAAUCUUGCCUUUGAUGAUAUUCGAUAAUAGAUCAUAGUUCAUAAUCAUUGUUUAUAAUCUCAUGAGCAACUAAGAGUGGAAAAACAUUAUCGAUGAUUAUCUUAUUCAGAUCCCAAAUCUCAUUACAAUAUGUAAUGAAAAUCUCAGUAUUUUUAGGGUCGACGGUCUUUUCAUGGGUUUGUGCCUCUUUAUGGGCAAUAAGUUCUCCUGGAGUAAGCUCAACACCAGGCUCUUCUGGAGUGGAUUCGUGAAUCUUCCCCUUUUAUUUUUGAGGGACAAUGUUUUUUUAUCCUAUUUGUCUUUCACACUUCAAAUGUGAGCCAUUUUGAUCUAUUUCAGCCUAUUCUUCAAGAAUAGUAAUCCUAGUUGGAACAUUCAUAGUUGGAAUAUGAGGCUUUGUAAUCUCGGCAGCAUCAUUAAAUGCGUCAGAAAGUCUAUUGGCAAUAGCUUGCAAAUGGAUUAUACGCUACACCUCAUUUUCACAUUUAAGAGUUCUUGGGUCUAAAUGGGAUAGAUUUUUCUCAUUCCAAGAGAAAAUCUCAACUAGUUGUUGUUUCCCAGCCAUGGAAGCCUUAGGUAUUCCAAUUAGUAGAAACAUUGUUUCAUCGAAAUGACAAUCUGCAAAUCUGAAGGUAAAAAGAUCACCCAUUGUUGGUUUUAAGAACCUAAUAAUAAAUGGUGAAUCAAACCCAACGUAAAUGCCCAAAUGGUGUUGGGGAACAAUUUUUGUCCUUUUUGGCGGUGUUACAAGCACCUACAUAGCUCAACCAAAGGUGCGUAAAUGUGAAAUGUCUGGCUCAUAGCCUAGAACCACCUGCAUGAGAGAUUGCAAGAGACUAGCAGUGGGGUGCAUCUAAUUAGUGCCAUCACAUGCAAAAUAGCAUGACCCCACGUUGAAUAGUUGAGCUUUGUCCUCCAUAAUAAAGUCCGAGCAAUAAUUUGAAUUUAAUCAAGAAUUCUGCCAAUCCAUUCUGAGUAUGAACAUGUGAAAUCAAGUGUUAAACCUUAAUUCUUGGUGAAGCACAAUAUACAUCAAAGCUCUUUGAUGUAAAUUCACCAACAUUAUCCAUCCUUUUGCUUUUGAUUGGAUAAUUAAGGAAAUGUGGACAAAGCUUUAUAAUCUGUGCAAGUAAACAUGCAAAUGCGAUGUUGCAUGUAGAUACCAGGCAAACAUGGAACCAUUUGCAGGAUGUGUCCCUUAAUACCAUGAAAUAUCUGAACAGCCCACUUGCCAAUUGUAUUGGUCCACAAAUAUUAACUUAGAUUCUUUGCAAUAAUGAAAGGGAUUCAAGAUUCACCUUUGUCAUAGAAGGUUUAUUAAUGAGCUUUCCUUGUAAACAACUUUCACAAGUAUAAUCUUUGGACAACAAAAUCUUUUUAUCCUUUAAAAGGUGUCCUUUAGUAUUAUGGAUUAUCCUACGCAUCAUUGUAGUUCUCGGGUGACCUAGGCGAUUAUGCCAAAGUCUAAACUCAUCGAGAUUUACCAGUUUCUAACACACGGUAGCUUAGGAUUUCCUGAUUCGAGUCUACCUCGACCCUAAAGUCCUAUAUCAAUGAUGAGUUACUUUAUUUUGAUAUCACUUAUCAUGCACCUACGUUCCAACCUAAAUGACAUGUCUAUUACCGAUGCAAGUCCUUAUUUAUAAAUAGAAAACUCAUCUCAUCUCUUACUGUGUAGGAUCAUGACACUCACAUUCUAAUUUAAAGUUCAAUUUGCUAUUUAAUGCAACCAACACAAAUACUAUUUCGAUGUGUAUCCAAUAAAUUCCCUAGGUUCGAAUUUUCUUUUGGGACGAAGGUUUGGGUUUUGAAUUGGUCGAAAGGUGGUUAAGAAAGAAGAGAAGGUUUUUUAAGGGAGAUUGGGGCCAUGCACAAAAAUGGUGCCGUUUGAGAAAAAAAAAGAAGAAAAGGAAAAAAAGCACGGACCUAAGCAACCUCGGCCCAAGUUAUAGCCCGAUUUGUGAAUUAAAACCAAAAAGGUUAAAGCCCAACCUAGUUGGAUCUUGGAGGUAUGAUUUGAGUUUAUUUUGUGUUAUUUUGAGCUUAUCAUUUAUUAUUUUAUUAUUUGUAAUGUAUUUAGUCAUUUUUUAUUUUUUUUAAAUGUAAUUUUAAUAAAUAUUUAACAUUAAUAAAAUUAUAAAUAAAUAAAAUAGUUAUUUGAAUUAAUUCCUCACGAUGGAAUUUUAUUUGAAUUAUGUAUCAAUAUUUUUUAAAUUGAUUUUCCUAGGGUGAGGAAUAAUUUGAGACUCCAUCAAAGUGUUGGAAGAGCUUAUUAAAAUUUAUUCCAACAUCCAAGUUACUUCACAUAAUCAUCAAAUAAAGAAAUAUUUGUAUUUUCUUUCUGCUACCUGGCUUGUUUUGUUUCUACUAUUUCUCUACUUCCCUAUAUGCUACCUCAAAUGAAAUAAAAUGUUUCCUCGCCUUUCAAAAAAAAUGUAGAAAAAAUGUUAAUUUUAUUUUUCUCUUAUUUUAUACAAAGAAAAUGUAUUAUAUUUUAUAUAUGUAUAUAAGUAUGUAUGUAUUUAAUUAUAUAUGUACAUAUCUAUAGUAUUAGCUGUUCAAACUUUGUUUGUGCAAUUUUUUUUUCAUACGUAAGUAACAACUUAGAAAAGUACAGUCUUUGCCAUUAUAUAUAUAUAUAUAUAUAUAUAUAUAUAUAUAUAUAUAUAUAUAUGCAUGUAAAUCUCUCUUUAUUUGUAAUUUUUUUUGUCCAAAAUGUUCUAUCCUAAUUACAAUAUUUUUAAUAACACAUUUAAAAAUUAAAUGCAAAUUUUAUUGGAGAGUGUUUUUUACUUUGGCUUUAGACUCCAGCUAAUUAAAUUUUCAAAGGAAGAUUUGCUUUCAUUUGCAACCAGAGAAUAAUUAGCGGACAACCAAGAUAAGAUUAUCCUAGUUCUUAUUUAACCUUUCUUUUUGAACUUUUUUAUACAUAUCCAAAAAAAUAUAAAUUACGGAACUGAUUAAUCCAUUUAGAAUUAUUAUUUUGUUUUUCAAUAAGUCGAUGGUGGAAUUUAAGACUACACAAAUGAAUUUAUAGGAUUGUUUAAGUGAUUUUAUUUAUAUUUUAUUGAGGGUUUAUUUUAAUCUUCCUACUGUGACUAUGUAGAUGAACUUAGAUAGAUUACAAAGAUUCCUUUUCUGUUAGUUUCGUUACGUGUAAAAUCAGCUCAGAGCUAUGAUUGGCUUGUGUUGAAGUAAUUGGCUUUAAUUAAUUAGUUGACUUGACUGACUUUUCAAACGAAGACAAGUGGGGAGAAAAACUGCCCCAUUAAAAGUUGACUGAAACAUGUGCAAUUUUGCUAAUAUCUGCAUGUGAUUUUUUUGUCCAAAAUAUUACCAAAAAAAAUUUUAUAGAACAGUGAUGAAAUGCCCCAUACUUUGAUAUGGUGAUAAAUAAAGUUGAUCGGAUGCGAAUUGAGACAUAAUAAGGUAUUUUGGGAACUAAAGAGACAAGAUAAAAUUUUUGGAAUAAAAUAAUAGUAAAAUAUUAACAUUUAACCGGAUGUCGAAAUCAGUCAUGAAGAAGGAUCAUAUGGUUAAUCCGAGUAGGGGAUAAGAUGUCAAGUCUGACUCUAUAAAAUACUUGUCAUGACAUACAUGUGAUGGAUAACAUGUUUACAUGCUAGAAGAGUCCCGAAAAAUUUACAAAAGUCGAUAUUGUACCUAGAGGUACAACAAAGUUUAUUUAAGUCUCGAACUACAUCAAAUAGAGAUUUUAGGGUGAAAUUAAGAGUUUCACAGUCCAAGGAUGACUCAAAAUGGUAAUUCAGAGUUUGAGGAUCAAUUUGGAGUCAAACCAAAAUUUUCACUAUACAGAGGUAAAAUGGUCAUUUGUCACCUGGGGACAAAAUGAAAAUUUUUACAAAAGAUUUUUUUGGCCCCAUUUGACUAAUUGGAGUAUGAUUUGAGGCUUAGAAGUGAAAAAUUUUAAUUUCGGUAAUUUUCGGAGCAUAGGUGUAAAAUGGUAAUUUUGCCACCCCAAGAGCAAAACAGUAUUUUCCACCACCAGAACACUUGUCCAGCAUAUGGAUUUUAUCCAAUUUUAUCAUGGAUAAUUGAAAGAAUUUAUAUGGUGGAGAGAGAAAGCUUAAGAGUUAAGAAAUAAAAAUGGACCAAUGAAAUGGUAACACAUGGCAUAUUUAAAACCAUUAAAUAUUUAACUUUAAAAUUAAUACAAAAUCAGCCCAUUUCUCAUUCAUAUGGCUGGCCAAAGAAGAACAAAGGAGGAAAGGAAAAAAAACAAGAACCCUAGGUGGGAAAAUUCAAGAAAAAGUGCAGGAUUUCAAGGGAUUAAGCUAAUAAAUAUAAAAUUUCUUGAUUUUGACUUGUGAUUUACACUACCCAUGCUUUCUUUUUCAUUUUCCAUAGUUAGAUUUCAUGUUUGCAUGGUGAAUUCAUGGCUGGUUAGAAUGGGUAUGGAGAGAGAAUGAAGUUGGAUUGAUUUGAUUCUAAGUUAUGUUAGUGUUUUUAGUUAGUUUAUCAUGUCCAGAAACAAACCAACAAGAAAAAUUUAUUUUCUCUCAUUACCCAUCAUUGGUCGAAUUUUCUGGGGAGGAUAUUGCGGCUGAAAUUGAUGAUAUUUCAUGAUAUUUUGGUGAUAUUUGAUGUUUGGUGAGGCUAGAAAUUAAAUGGGAAAUUUUGGUGCGAAAAUCUAAAUUUUUGCUCAACGUAUGACAUGUGCGAUUAUCAAUCCGGGACUAAUAAAUUGAAUCUCAUUCACAGUCACUGAGGUAAUUUAGGUAUAUUUGGAGUGUAGAAAGUGAGAAGAAUUGAUUUGGAGUUAAAUUGGAGAUUUUAGCCGAUUAGACCGAGUAUAGUGUGACUUAGGUCGAAUAUCACAUUUAAGCAAUUAAUCGGACAUUUUGCAUUUCAUAUCAUGCAUUAGUAGUCUAAAUUAAUUUAAUUUUGAUUUAGUACCAAUGUAAUAAGUUUCUCGAUUUUGUAUUGUGUCAAGGUGGUGAGUCCUCUGACAAGGGCAAGGAAAUUGUACCCGAGGAUCGAUAAUCGGAGUACUUUAGAAAUUAGACUCCUGAAAUAGUGAGUAACCUUACCAUCAUUUUAAUUAUCUAAAGUAUGUUUUUAAUCGGUUUUGGUGAAAUUUUAUGAAAAUGAGUUUAAAUGGUAAAUCUUUGUGUUUUACAAACAAAAUGUGUUUAAAUGAAAAGAUUUUAUAAAUUGUCUUGAAAUUGAAUAAUGAUUUUGAAAAAUAGAGUAAUUGGAGACCACUUGUUAUGUUGUGAAAUUUAUAAUUUGAAUCGAAUGGCUUAUGACAAUAUUUGCAUGAAUGGNAUAAUGAUUUUGAAAAAUAGAGUAAUUGGAGACCACUUGUUAUGUUGUGAAAUUUAUAAUUUGAAUCUAAUGGCUUAUGACAAUAUUUGCAUGAAUGGAUGAAUUGAUAUUUGUGUUGAAAUAUAUGAAAUGUGCAUUUAGCCUUGGAAGGUUGUGAAUUACAAUAAUUGCCAUAUCAUGUUAUUGAAUUUUAUUGAUUGGUGGAAAAAUUAUUAGCUUACUACAGUAGGCGGGUUUCCGUGGACUAGCCUAUUAGAGGGGCACGGUAAACCCCAUUAUAUUUUACUUCAGUUGGAGAAACGAGUAGGGUAACUCCCGAGGUAUAACUUUUAGAGUUCACUUCACGCCAAACCACCACAUGAGGUGGAACUUGACCAACGCCAAGGAACGGCUAUAUUUUUAAAAUAAAAACAUGUUUAUGUGUACGUAACUUUUUAAUAGCCUUGGCGGACUCGAUUUGGGAUAGCCCUCGGCCAAGGUAUCCUUGAUAAUUGAGUAUGAGAAUAAUUUUUGGCAUGAGCCAAGCUUUUAAGAAAUUCAUAAGCCAUACUGAUUACUUGAUUUAAAUAAAUUGAUUUCAUUUGGUUGAAAUAAGUUGAAAGAUGAUAAAUUACAGUUUGAUGAAAUGUUUUAAUAGUCUCCUUUUACUCGACUUUAGAUAUUUUGAAUGAUGUUUGUUUACUCACUAGGAUUUCAUACUCUCACCACCCUCCUUUCUAUCCAUUUCAGGCUUAGAAUAGAUUGUAGAUAACUGAUUAUCAGCGAUGACUACAAUUGGACUUGCCACAUCCAAAAACUGUAGGUUCAUUUUUUUUAUACUUUUUGUCAUUCGUGGGCCCACACGUCACUAUAAAUUAAAUUUUAUACUUUGGUUAUCUGUAUUACAGUAUAAAUGAAUCUAUUUUGCUUUUACGCUGUAAAAAUUAUUUACGCAAUGUUCUAAAAAUAUUAUUUUAUAAGAAAAUAGAAUAUUUUGCUUAAUAUUUCUUUUAUUUUCUUAUUAUAUCCAAAUAAUCAUAAUUUCGUUUUAAAUGAAGAUUUUAGACUUUUAAACUCAUUUUGAUUAUGAACUAUGUAUUUUGUACUUGUAAAUUACAUUUUUUACCGGUUUCAAAAUUUUUGAGAAAAAUGACCAAAAUACCCUUAUGGGACAAAAAUUAUUAUUUUAUGUGUUUUAAGUUGGAAAUAGCUUAAAAUCUCUUAGAACGUGAUAUUUGGCAACGGUUACUCACAGGGGAAAUGAGAAGCUGAUAUUAAAGUCUUGUGGGAUUCCAAUUGACAUUCCGGGUAACGAAUGUCGAUCAGGACGUCACGGCGGUUGUCACGGGCUAGAUGGGAGUUUCGGGUCAUGACAAUUAGAGUGGUAUCAGAGCUUUUGAUUUUAAAGAUUAGAGCUUUUGGGUUUAAAAUUGCUUUAAAAAUUUACAGUGUCAGUGUGGCCCCAAGUCCAGUUAAGUUAAGUUAAGCCAGGUUAGGUUGAAUAAAAUGUAUGUGUCUGCAUAUAGAGCCUAAGGUUGCCUAAACUUGCUUGUUUCCUCUUAUAGAUCUUAUGGGAGCUAUAGGAAUUCCUGUUCCCAAUAAUCCACUUCCUUGUUAAGGUCAUGCAAAGGUCAUAAGUAGGGUCGUUGUCUAGGUUUAAGAUGCCACCCGUGACAUGAGCCAGUGUUAGAGAGAUCUUAAAACGAAUGCUCCUAAUGAAAGAUUAAUGAAAUGAUAUAACCCUCCGAUUAAGGAUGGAGAAAUUUAGAAUUGGACUAAUAGACCGUGAUAAUUUAUUCAUUUGGUGGAGUUAUAAUUGAACACAUGGUUGUCAAUUGGAAAAAGAUUUGAGAACUAUGGAUUGUAUUGGGGUUAAUAUAAAGAAGCACGUGUAAUAAUGGUAAUAAGGGGCACAAUUUGGUUAGAAUGAAUAGUGAUGGUUGUAAUUCACUUGGAGUGUAUAAAUUAAGUAUUGAGGUAAGAGUAAGCCUAUACUUAUGUGCAUGAAGAUAAGAACACUAUAUUAAUUGAGCUUGUUAUGCCAAUAUAUAAGUGGUGUUGAGAUUUUGAAAUAUUUUAUAGGUGAAUAUGUGUUGAAUAGGUACAGCAGCUUAGAGGGAACUGAUGUUGAUUUCAAUUAAGCGAUUGCGAGAUUUCAAGAAUUAAUUAGACCUAUUAUAGUUCAUGGAUAUAAGCAGGUGAAUUAACUCGAGAAUGAGUAUCAAUGAUUACUAUAAUUGAUGUGUGGUCAUGAAGUAAGAUGUUAGUAAACAAAUCUGCUCUAAGGAUGAGCUUGAACUUUGUUAUGCAUAGCAAAAGGGGGAGCUAAGGGAUUAAAGAACUAGAUGUGGAAUUGGCAGCUUGAGGUUAAAUGACUUGGAAAUGUCAAAUCCAGUCUAAGUGCCAUAUGAAGUUCUAUAAUUGAGAUUAAUAUACGAAUUACUUGAAAGAUCAAUUUAAAAGUUUAUUCGAUUCAAAGUGUGGCCUAUGAUACGAAUGAUCAGUCUUGAAGGUGAUCUCCCCAAAGUAAGGAAUUUAGAAAAUGCUGAUGUUUGGAUAUACUUUAAGAGAGAGAACUUCUACAUCCUAAGUUUAGGACAACUUUGAUUUUAUGAUCGCAAAGGCAAGGUGAAAUAACUAAGUAAAUUAUUUACUUAAUAAAUGUGAUUGGUUAUUGAUGAAUAAAGUCAAUAUCUUAACAUUUAGUGGUGUACAAUUUGAUAAUUAUGUAUUUAAGAGUUAUUUGGAGACAAUUCCUUCAUCAAAUUUGCACUAAAUGCUAUGGUAAAGGCAUAUCAAUGUUAAUAUGAAAAUGUAUCUAGGAAUGAUCUUAACAUAUCACCAAAGGAGAAUUAAACAUGUUGAAAUUAAUGUUCUAAUAGUGUGCAUAUGAUUGAAAGCUAGUUUGUAAGUUGUAGUUUUCAUGAUUAUGAAAUAUAUAAAGAUUAUCAAUAUAUGGGCAUACACUUGGAGUUAUAAUUUACAAGUUUGGAGUAUUUAAGAUAUGAUUAAAUGGAAUUAGCAUUAGUUAAGGUACGUAAAUCUUUUAAUUAAUUUCUGUGGAGUAUGCAUGAUAGUAAAAUGGAGGAACAUAGUGUCGUGAUACUAUAUGGUGAAGUUACUAUACAAUAUGGAAAGAGUAUUCUAAAGUGGGAUUUAUUGAUUGUUGACAAGUGUUAUAGGAUGAGAUGAAUUUGAAAAUAUUGACUUUACCUAUUAUAUGUGAUGAGCACAAGAGGAUAUAAAUGGUUAUGAAACACAUGAUAUAUGUCUAGAAGGGAAAGCCACUGCUUGAGAAUGAUUGAUGUGGUGACUUUGAAUGUAGACAAAUAGCUUUGAUGAGGAUUUUUCUAAUAGUUACAGCGCCGCAGCACUGACUGUCCAACGCUGUAAUGCUCUGAAUACCUCAUGCCUAUGAUGCAUGAGUAUGAUGGAAGUGGCACAAUAAUAAACUUACAAAUUGAAUUUUGGCUAUUGGUCAUUGAGCUUUAUUAUUUGGGAGUUUUAAAAAUUCUGGAGAAUGUUUACCUAAAUAAAUUAAAAAGCUUCUUUAUUGCCUCAUGUGUGAGCAUAUAAUAAAAAAAAAUUCUUGAGAUGGCUACCAUGAGAUAAGAUACCAAGAGAUGAAAGUAUGAAUGAAGAAUUACGAGACCGAUAUAGAAAACCAGUUUAUAUAGAGUAUCAUUAUGAGAACUUGCAAUUUCUAUCUUGAUUCAGUUAAAUGACAAGGGUUAGUAACAACAUGAGGCCAAUUGUGUGGCACCCUAGAAACCUAUGAAGAUGAGUUAGGGAUUGAAUGGAUGAGUACGUAUUUAUAUACCUUUAAGAUUAAGUGUUUUAAGAAUACAUAAACAUCUUUGAGAAGAAAUUUCUAGUCAUACAUGGCAAGUACGAAAUGUGAUAUUUUUAAAACUUGUUGAGGAGCCUAACGGCUAAGUCACAAGUUAAGUGAUCAUAUGCUGUGAGACAUAAGUUUAAGGUAGAUAUUCCCAAGGAAAUACUCAAGAAGAGUUUUGCUACGGAUUUUGUGGAAGCUAGCAUUAAGUUAUGUGGCUGUAAAAAGGAAGCUUUAAGUUGGAAGUGAAAUUCAUAUUGACAUUGAAAAGUACGUAGAAGGACUUUAUUUCAAGUCUUACAAUUUUAAGUACAAACUGCAGAUUGGUCUAGGGAGAAUGAUAUCACAUUAUUAUGGAAGAACAGAACAAAGGAUGAAUGAAGAUAAUUUGGAUAAUGAAGCUUGAUAAUGAAAAUUUCCUAAGGUAGUAUGGAAACUGGAAUUUGAAAAUGCAUAAGGCAUGCAUGAUUAGAAACAGUCUUAGUUUUUAAGUGACAUUUAGUAGGUGAGAUGUGAUUAAUGACAUUGUGAUGUGAGGACAUAGCAUGAUAAAACUCAAGCAUAUGGUUGGAAAUGAUAUAAAUGAUAUGAAGUUAUACGCAAGUAUAAUAAGAAGGUUGACAUGCACUAUAAGAAUUAUUAUAUUGAAACUAAGAUUGGGAUGUGGAUGAAUAAAGGGGAAUGUAGUCCAAGGCAUGUGAACACAUGGAUCCCUAUACAUAAUGAGAGAUGUUGACAUUUGAAAAUGCAUGUACAUAUGUAUAUAUGAAAUUGAUAAUUUGACUAACUAAGGUGAAGAAUGGUUCUCAGUAAUUGGGAGAUUUUGAAAUAAUGUCUAGAGAGGUCAGUGAGCUAAAGUGUUAACGGGCAUGCAAUGAACGAUUAAAGUUAUGAGUAACUUUGAAGGUAAGCCUUGGAUUGUUUAAGUUCUUAAUGGAACUCUGUUAAAGGAAGGGUAUGGACCAAUAUAAGAUGAAUGAAUCAAGGUUGAGAAAUUUGGCGUGGAGCAAAUUAAUAAAAUGAUAAUUAGGUAUACAUAAGUAAGUAUAAUAGGUAAUCAAAAUCGGUAUAAUUGAGAUGAAGUUAUGGUUCAAAUUUAAUAAGGGUAAUAAAGGCAUGCUUGGUGACUCAAUAUAAGAAAUCAUGAUUGUGAAAAGUACUGCUGAUCUGGCUUCAAAGGAUGAUAAUUGCCAUAAAUAAAGCAUUUAACUGAACUGAAGGAGAACGAGGUAAAUAAAUUGAAUGUCCCUAUAGAAGGAAAAAGGAAUAGGAUCAUAGAAGGAGAUUGAUAACGUAACAUUGACGUGAAUUCGAGGACGAAUUCUAUUUAAGUGGGGGAGAUUGAAAUGCCCCAUACUUUGAUAUGGUGAUAAAUAAAGUUGGUCAGAUAUGAAUUGAGGCAUAAUAAGGUAUUUUGGGAACUAAGGAGAUAAGAUAAAAUUUUUGAAAUAAAAUAAUAUCUUAUUAAUAAAAUAAUAGUAAAAUAUUAAUAUUUAACCGAAUGUCGAAAUCAGUCAUGAAAAAAGAUCAUAUGGUUGAUCCGAGUAGGGGAGAAGAUGUCAAGCCUGACUCUAUAAAAUACUUGUCAUGACAUAUAUGUGAUGGGUAGCAUGUUUGCAUGCUAGGAGAGUCUUGAAAAAUUUACAAAAGUCAAUAUUGUACCCAGAGGUACAACAAAGUUGAUUUAAACCUCGAACUAGAUCAAACAUAGAUUUUAGGGUGAAAUUAAGAGUUUCACAGUUCAGGGAUAACUCAAAAUGGUAAUUCGGACUUCAAGGAUCAAUUUGGAGUCAAACCGAAAUUUUCACUAUCUAGGGCCAAAAUGGUCAUUUGCCACCUGAGGACAAAAUGGAAAUUUUUACAAAAGAUUUUUUUGGCCCCAUUUGACUUAUUGGACUAUGAUUUGAGGCUUAUAAGUGAAAAUUUUUAAUUUCGGUAAUUUUCAUAGCAUAUGGGUAAAAUUGUAAUUUUACCACCCUAAAGGCAAAACAGUAAUUUUCCACCACCAGAACACUUGUCCAGCAUAUGGAUUUUAUCCAAUUUUAUCAUUGAUAAUUGAAGGAAUUUAUAUGGUGGAGAGAGAAAGCUUAAUAGUUAAGAAAUAAAAAUAGACCAAUGAAAUGGUGACACAUGGCAUAUUUAUAACCAUUAAAUAUUUAGCUUUAAAAUUAAUACAAAAUCAGCCCAUUUCUCAUUCAUAUGGCCGGCCAAAGAAGAACAAAGGAGGAAAGGAAAAAAAACAAGAACCCUAUGCGGGAAAAUUGAAGAAAAGUGUGGGAUUUCAAGGGAUUAAGCUAAUAAAGGUAAAAUUUCUUGAUUUUGACUUGUGAUUUACACUACCAUGCUUUCUUGUUCAUUUUCCAUACUUAGAUUUCAUGUUUUUAUGGUGAAUUCAUGGCUGGUUGGAAUGGGUAUGGAGAGAGAAUGAAGUUGGAUUGAUUUGAUUCUAAGUUAUGUUAGUGUUUUUAGUUAGUUUAUCAUGUCUAGAAACAAACCAACAAGAAAAAUUUAUUUUCUCCCAUUACCCAUCAUUGGUCGAAUUUUCUAGGGAGGAUAUUGCGGNGUGUUUUUAGUUAGUUUAUCAUGUCUAGGAACAAACCAACAAGAAAAAUUUAUUUUCUCCCAUUACCCAUCAUUGGUCGAAUUUUCUAGGGAGGAUAUUGCGGUUGAAAUUGAUGAUAUUUUAUGAUAUUUUGGUGAUAUUUGAUGUUUGGUGAGGCUAGAAAUUAAAUGAGAAAUUUUGGUGUGAAAAUCUAAAUUUUUGCUCAACGUAUAGACAUGUGUGAUUAUUGACCCGAAACUGAUAAAUUGAAUCUCAUUCACAGUCACUGAGGUAAUUUAGGUAUAAUUGGAGUGUAAAAAGUGAGAAGAAUUGAUUUAGAGUUAAAUUGAAGAUUUUAGCUGAUUAGACCGAGUAUAGUGUGACUUAAGUCGAAUAUCACAUGUAAGCAAUUAAUCGGACAUUUUGCAUUCCAUAUCAUGCAUUAGUAGUCUAAAUUAGUUUAAUUUUGAUUUAGUACCAAUGUAAUAAGUUUCUCGAUUUUGUAUUGUGUCAAGGUGGUGAGUUCUCUGACAAGGGUAAGGAAAUUGUACCCGAUGAUCGAUAAUCGGAGUACUUUAGAAAUUAGACUCCUGAAAUAGUGAGUAACCUUACCAUCAAUUUAAUUAUCUAAAGUAUGUUUUUAAUCGGUUUUGGUGAAAUUUUAUGAAAAUGAGUUUAAAUGGUAAAUCUUUGUGUUUUACAAACAAAAUGUGUUUACAUGAAAAGAUUUUAUAAAUUGUCUUGAAAUUGAAUAAUGAUUUUGAAAAAUAGAGUAAUUGGAGACCACUUGUUAUGUUGUAAAAUUUAUAAUUUGAAUCGAAUGGCUUAUGACAAUAUUUGCAUGAAUGGCUGAAUUGAUAUUUAUGUUGAAAUAUAUGAAAUGUGCAUUUAGCCUUGGAAGGCUGUGAAUUACAAUAAUUGCCAUAUCAUGUUAUUAAAUUUUAUUGAUUGGUGAAAAAAUUAUUAGCUUACUACAGAAGGCGGGUUUUCGUGGACUAGCCUAUUAGAGGGGCACGGUAAACCCCAUUAUAUUUUACCUCAGUUGGAGAAGCAAGUAAGGUAACUUCCGAGGUAUAACUUUUAGAGUUCACUUUACGCCAAACCACCACAUGAGGUGGAACUUGGCCAACGCCAAGGAACGGCUAUAUUUUUAAAAUAAAAACAUGUUUAUGUGUACGUAACUUUUUAAUAGCCUUGGUGGACUCGAUUUGGGAUAGCCUUCGGCCAAGGUAUCCCUGAUAACUGAGUAUGAGAAUAAUUUUUGGUAUGAGCCAAGCUUUUAAGAAAUUCAUAAGCCAUAUUGAUUACUUGAUUUAAAUAAAUUGAUUUCAUUUGGUUGAAAUAAGUUGAAAGAUGAUAAAUUACAGUUUGAUGAAAUGUUUUAAUAGUCUCCUUUUACUCGACUUUAGAUAUUUUGAAUGAUGUUUGUUUACUCACUGGGAUUUCAUAAUCUCACCACCCUCCUUUCCACCCAUUUCAAGCUCAGAAUAGAUUGUAGAUAACUGAUAUCGGUGAUGACUACAAUUGGACUUGCCACAUCCAAAAACAGUAAGUUCAUUUCUUUUGAUACUUUUAGUCAUUCGCGAGCUCAUGCGUCGCUGUAAAUUAAAUUUUAUACUUUGGUUAUCUGUAUUAUAGUAUGAAUGAAUCUAUUUUGCUUUUACGCUGUAAAAAUUAUUUACGCAGUGUUCUAAAAAUAUUGUUUUAUAAGAAAAUAGAAUAUUUUGCUUAAUAUUUCUUUUAUUUUCUUAUUAUAUCCAAAUAAUCAUAAUUUCGUUUUAAAUGAAGACUUUAGACUUUUAAACUCAUUUUGAGUAUGAACUAUGUGUUUUGUACUUGUAAAUUACAAUUUUUGCCAGUUUCGAAAUAUUUGAGAAAAAUGACCAAUAUAUCCCUGUGGGACGAAAAUUAUUAUUUUAUUUAUUUUAAGUUGAAAAUAGCUUAAAAUCUCUUAAAACGUGAUAUUUGGCAACGGUUACUCACAGGGGAAAUGAGAAGCUGAUAUUAAAGCCUUGCGAGAUUUCGGUUGACAUUCCGGGUAAUGAAUGUCGAUCGGGACGUCGCAGCGGUUGUCACAGGCUCCAUGGGAUUUCCGGGUCGUGACAAGUGAAAUCCGUAAAAGUUGUAUGCAAAAGGAUUUUUAACAACACAAGUUAAAGAAAAAAGUUCAAAGGAAGAUUUGAUUUCAAUUGCAACCACAGAAAUAAUUAACAAAGCAAUGAAGAUAACAUUAUCCUAACUCUUAUUUAAUCUUUCUUGUUAAACUUUUUUAUAUUUUACUAAUCUUUGAGCAAAAAUUAUAUAUCAAUCACUGAAUUAAAUAUUUAAAUGCAUGAUAUAAAUUUUUGUUACAUUAGCAAAAUUUUAAAAUUUAAAUAUUAGUAUAAAAUUAUUAUAAAAAGUAAUUAUUAUUAAAUGCUUAAUUUUAUUACUAAAUUGUUAAAAGAGAGUUGAGGUUUGAGGAUGGAAGCUACUUUUUUAGCCACUUAGCCUUUUCUAUAUGUAACAAAAGAAGAUGUAAAAUAUGGACUCAAAUGUGUUUCUUGUGAGGCCAUCUUGUUUUUUAUGGUACUGUUGGAUCAUAUUAACCUCAAAGCUUUUGUACAGUUUUAAUUGAUGAGUUAAAUGUUAAAUAUAUUCACAUGUACAUGUAUAUACACAUACAUGAAUAAUGAAUAGUAAUGAAAACUAAAUAUAAGCAAAUAUCAACUAUUAUUUGAUAAUAAUAGUGUAUCUUUCUUAAAUAAUCCACUAAAUAAAUAAUUUCUAUAAGAAUCACGAUACUAACCUGUAGUUAUAGCAAAUGUCAAGUUUCUUUCUUUACAAGCUCAUCUUUAGAGUUCUUUAGACUUUUUUUAAUGAGUUCUUCCAACCCAAAUGGUAAUUUUACAAUGAUGGUAAUAUGGUAUUUAUUUUAAAAAAAAAUUACCUUCAGUGGGGACCUAUAUGUUUAUUUAAUAAAUAGAAUCUCUUUCAUCAAGAAGAUGCCACUAUAUCAAAAUUAAAAAAUUUCAAAAAUAAUGAAUAAUUAUCAUAAUUUUAUUUCAAUAAUAAAUAACUAUCACAAUUUCAUUAAAACUGUAUCACUUAUUAUGAAAAUUAAAUAUUAAAACCAUUCAAAAUUGAAAAUUCCAAUUUAGUUGUCAAUUUGAACACAAAUUUUCUUCUUUCUUGUUUGAGUGGUCCUACUCAUCCUACCUGUAUUCAAAAGUAAGAAGAAAAACAUUUAAAGACCUUGUGACAUUUUGGUAUCAAUUGCUGACACUUUGACAUUAGUUGACUGAGUUUUCAGCCACAAAUUGAUUGGCUGCACAGUGAUCAGAUAAGUGACCUUCCCAGCUUCUUCACUUGCCUGAUUUGAAGUUAAAACUAUAGCCACUCAGCCUUCUUCUUCUCACCAAAUUUCAAGAUAUGCUAGAGCAAACCUUCCACUAUUCGGCCUCCUGGCCCUUGCUUUAUCAAAUUUCCCUAAUUUUUGCAUUGCUAGAGGCAAGCACUACGACUCUUCUUUCUGUGGAAACAUUAACAUCAGUUAUCCUUUUCGAUUAGAAACCCAGCCUCGUAGUUGUGGUUAUAAUAGGUUUGAACUAGUGUGCUAGAAUAACCGCACCAUUUUCCCCAUGAAAAAUGGGAAUUUCUAUGUCCAACACAUCUCUUAUAGUGACGAAAUCACUCAACUUUUAGAUGUGAGUCUUGGCAAUGAUAACUACUCCAUUCCUCAUAGAUCUUAUCCUUGGUACACCCUUUUUAGGAAAGAACUGUUGAAAGGUAAUUCAUAAUCUGACAACAGCAGCAUGUGAAGAACAAGUGAAGAGCUUCAACUUAUAGUGCAAAACGAUGGCGUUUCUUCAUCAGAAGUUCUAAGUUUUCAAAGUGUGCCAUUUUACUUCUUUUAUGUUUUAAGUUUGUAGUACUCAAAACGAUGUUGCUCAUAACGUUUUUAGCUCUGCUUAGUUAAAUCCUAUACGCUUCAUUAUAGUGUCGUUUUUGAGUCUAUUUUAAGGCUUAACAACCAUGGCUUUCUGUUUCAACUUUUUACUGUUGGUGGUCAUUAGUUUGUCUGUAGUUUGUUGCUGUGAUCCAAUUUAUCAAGAAAUGUUUUUGAAUUGUUAGAGUAUAUAUACAAGAAAUGAAAUAAAAUGAUUAGCUUCUUCUAGUAAGAAAUUUUCUAUUCAUAUUCUCUGUUUUUAAGCUUUGUUUUUUCGUUGCUUAGCUUUGCAACUUAGCUUUUAAUUUUCUUUAAUUGGUAUCAGAGCUAUCAGUGAUCUUAAGGGCCUAGGAUUUGAUCAGUUUGUGUAAAUAUGACCUCUGGAUUCAAUGCAUCAGCUCCACCAAAGUUCACCGGAGAGAACUAUUCAUUCUCGAGUGUGAAAAUGGAGGUUUAUCUCAGAACCUUCAUGUUGUGGGAAGCAAUGGAGACUGAUGAGGAACCAGUGCAAAGGAGAGUUAAUCCGACGAUAGCUCAGAUCAGGCAAUUUGAGGAAGACAAAGCUAAAAGGUACAAAGCUCUGUCUUGCCUUCACUCAGCUUUAUCUGAUGAAAUUUUUGCUCGGGUUAUGCAUUUGAAAUCUCCUAAGCAAGUUUGGGAUUAUUUGAGAGAAGAGUUUUUUGGGAGUGAAUGAACUAGGCAGAUUCAAGCAUUUAAUCUUACUCAGAAAUUUGAAAUGUUAAGAAUGGAGGACAAUGAAAACAUAAGGGAUUUUUCUGGGAAGAUAAUGGGAUUAGUGAACCAAUUGAGGCUACUAGGGAAAGCGGUUACAGAAGAGAGACUGGUAAGCAAAAUGUUAGUGAGUUUACUUGAGAAAUAUGAGACUAAGGUGUCCUCAUUAGAAGAUUCCAAGGAUCUAGCUCAGAUUACUUUUAAGGAGUUAGUUAAUGCUUUGAAAGGUCUAGAACAAAGAAGGGCUUUUAGACAAAAGAGUGCAUCAGAUUUUGCCUUAGUAGCUAAAGCUAAAAAUGUGAAAAUGAGAGGUAAUGGCUCGAAGAACAGUUUAAUUGAUAAGAAAAACAAAGGAAGGAAGAGUGAAGAUACUCAACAGGAGGAUCAGAAGAAGGAAUUUCCACCAUGCAAGCAUUGUAAGAAGACUAGUCAUACUGAAAAAUACUGCUGGUUUAGGCCCAAUGUUAAAUGCAGGGCUUGCAAUCAACAGGAUCAUGUGGAAAAGGUAUGUAAAAAUUAGGCGAAAGCACCUGAGAAAGCUGCUGUUGUAGAGCAUGCAAAUGAAGAUGUUGAUGAAGUUCUUUUUACGGCUACAAUUGAUGAAAAUUCAAGCAAUGUAACAGCUGGUGAGAAUUCAAGGAGAUCUAAUGUUUGGCUUUUAGACAGUGCUUGCUCCCAUCACUGGACAGGUAAUAAAUCUCUUUUCUCUACCCUUGACACAAGCUUUAAGUCAAAGGUUAAGAUAGGAGAUGGAAAUUAUCUGAAUAUUUUAAGAGUAGGAACUGUUGACAUUGAAACUGCUUCAGGCAAAACAAGUAUCUCUAGUGUGCACUAUGUUCCUACUGUUGAUUAUUAUCUGUUGAGUGUGGGACAACUAGCUAAAGAGCAUUACAGUAUUUUGUUUAAGGGUGAUAGUUGUAUAGUUUUUAAUUCUCAGGGUAAAGAAUUGAUUACAGUAUCUAUGAAAAACAAUUGCUAUCCUUUGAAUUUGGCUAAUGCUGCUCACUUAGCUUUAUAUAACGAACUGGAUGUGUUUGAAGUAUGGCAUCAAAGGAUUGGCCAUGUUAAUUACAAUACUUUGAUUCUGAUGUCUUCUAGAAACUUCGUGAAAGGAUUGCUUGUUAUUUUAAAAUCGGAUAAGAUAUGCCAAACUUGUCAGUUUGGUAAACAAACAAAAAAAUCAUUUCCUAUAGAAAGUAGAUGGAAGGCUACUAGGAAGCUGGAAUUGGUACAUACUAAUUUGAGUGGUCCCAUGAAGACUACUUCACUUAGUGGAAGCAAAUACUACAUCAUCUUUAUUGAUGAUUAUUCAAAGUUUUGCUGGAUAUUCUUCUUGAAGCAGAAGUCUGAAGCUUUGAGCUAUUUCAAGAAGUUCAAAACUACUGCUGAAAAUUUCUCAGGACAAUGUGUAAGAACCUUGAGGAUUGAUAGUGGUAAGAAGUAUACAUCUGCUGAAUUUGAGCAGUAUCUAGAGUCUUGUGGAAUACAACAUCAGUUAACUAUUCCAUAUAGUCUUCAGCAGAAUGGGAAAGUUGAAAGAAUGAAUAGAACCUUGACAGAGAUGGGGAAGUGCUUAUUGUACUAGAUGAAGAAGCUAGGGGCAUUUUGGGCAGAAGCUGUGAAUACAGCUAACUAUCUUUUAAACAGAGUUUCCCAUAUGAAAUGUGGUUUGAUCAUAAACCAGAUGUUUCCCAUUUAAAAAUAUUUGGCUUCAUUUGCUAUGAUAAGGUACCAAAUGUUAAGAGGACUAAGUUUGAUCCAAAAUCUGUGGCAGCAGUUCUGGUUGGCUACAGUGAAGUCUCUAAAGGCUACAGAUUGUUUGAUCCUAAACUGAAGAAGAUUUUUGUAAGUAAAGAUGUGGUAUUUGAUGAGGGGCAAAGUUGAAACUGGCCUAAUAGUGGUGCUGGACAGGUUGAUUUUACCAAAACAGCUGAUGUAGAGGCUCAACAAACUGUAGCUGAUGAUGAUUCUGAUCUGGAGGAUGAAAGUAAAGCAGUUAGAGGUACAAUAAGCUUAGCUGACAUUUAUAAUAGAUGCAAUGUUACAGUAACUGAACCAGCAACUUUCAAGCAAGCUCAGCUUGAUGACAAUUGGAAAUUAGCUAUGGAUGCUGAAAUGGAGAUGAUAUCUAAGAAUGGGAUAUGGAUUCUUAUUGACAAACCAGUUGACAAAAACAUCAUAAGAGUGAAGUGGAUUUACAGAGCCAAAUUUAAUCCAGAUGGUUUUGUAAAUAAGUACAAGGCUCGGUUGGUGGUCAAAGGAUAUGCUUAAGUUUAUGGGGUUGACUACAUGGAAACAUAUGCUCUAGUAGCCAAACAUGACACUAUAAGGAUGCUUGCUGCUUUGUCAUCCAGGGAGGCAUGGACAAUUUAUCAUUUGGAUGUCAAAUCAGCUUUCUUUAAUGGCAUUCUUACUGAAGACAUUUAUAUUGAGCAACCUGAAGGUUAUGUGCAGCAGGGGUCUAAGAUGAAGGUAUGCAAGCUUAUCAAGGCAUUGCAUGGCUUGAAAUAGGCUCCAAGAGCCUGGUACACCAGAAUUGAUAAAUACUUCAAGAAUUAGGGGUUUAUGAGGAGCAUAAAUGAAUCCACUUUGUAUGUGAAGCAUGAGCAUAAUACUGUGGAACUUAUAGUAGCAUUAUAUGUGGAUGAUCUUCUGGUUACUGGACCAGAAAGCAAGUAUGUGUCUGAAUUUAAAUCUCGGAUGAAGGAAGAAUUUAAGAUGACUGACUUGGGAAUUAUGACUUAUUUUCUUGGCAUGGAAGUGGUGCAAGCUACUGGUAAAGUCAUACUGCAUCAAGGUAAAUAUGCUCAGGAUUUAUUAAAGAAGUUUAAUAUGAGUAUGUGCAAGGUAGUCAAUACUCCAUUGUGCAUUGGUGCUAAAUUUAGUGUAGCAGAUGGUGCUGAGAUGGCUAAUGGACAUUUAUAUAGAAGCAUUAUUGGUUCUUUACUCUAUUUGGCAGCUACCAGGCCAAGUAUAAUGUUUGCAACAAGCUUGCUGUCAAGGUUCAUGCAAAAUCCUUCAGAAGUACACCUUGCUGUAGCUAAAAGAAUUCUAAGAUAUGUUAGAGGGACUGUGAAUUAUGGACUAGUGUACAUGAAACAGGAAAGUAGUCAACUGAUAGGUUUUUUUUAUAGUGACUAGACAGGUUCAUUGGAUGAUUCUAAGAGCACAGGAGGUUUUUGUUUCUCAUUUGGAAGUGUUGUGUUUGCUUGGAGUUCCAAGAAACAGCCACUAGUAGCUCAGUCAACAGUAGAAGCAGAGUACAUAGCAUGUGCAGCUGCUACCAAUCAUGCUUUAUGGUUGAGGAAGCUAUUAGAUGAGUUUGGGUUUAAGCAGGAGAAAGGAACAUUGAUUAAUUUUGACAACUUGUCAGCAAUUGCCAUAUCGAAGAAUCCUGUUCAACAUGGGAGAACUAAGCACAUUAGAGUUAAGUACCAUGCUCUUAGAGAAGCUGUAAAAGAGGAAGAGAUUGAAUUGAUUCAUUGCUCAACAAGUGAUCAGCUUGCUUAUAUAUUUACUAAGAGUUUGGGAAGAGAAAGAUUUGAAUGUUUGAGACAAUGUCUUGGUGUUCAUCAGAUUAUGAAUUAAGGGGUUGUGUUGAAAGGUAAUUCAUAAUCUGAUAGUAGCAGCAUGUGAAGAACAAGUGAAGAGCUUCAGCUUAUAGUGCAAAACGAUGGCGUUUCUUCAUCAGAAGUUCUAAGUUUUCAAAGUGUGUCGUUUUACUUCUUUUAUGUUUUAAGUUUGUAGUACUCAAAAUGAUGUUGCUCAUCUCGUUUUUAGCUCUGCUUAGUUAAGUCCUAUACGCUUCAUUAUAGUGUCGUUUUUGAGUCUGUUUUAAGGCUUAACAGCCAUGGCUUUCUAUUUCAAUUUUUUAGUGUUGGUGGUCAUUGGUUUGUGUGUAGUUUGUUGUUGUGAUCCGAUUUAUCAGGAAAUGUUUUUGAAUUGUUAAAGUAUAUAUACAGGAAAUAAAAUGAAAUGAAUAGCUUCUUCCAGUAAGAAAUUUUCUGUUCAUAUUCUCUGUUUUUAAGCUUUGUUUUUUUGUUGCUUGGCUUUAUAGCUUAGCUUUUAAUUUUCUUCAAGAACUAUAUCUCUAUCGAACUACCACUGAAUACAGCAUCAUGUAUCUCGUAAAUUGCACGAUGCAGAUCAACUGCUCUUCCGUUUAUAUCGAUGCUUUUCGUUGUACCAAUACCCUUUCCUCUGGACCUCCUUACUUUUACUUUUUGGAUGAAAAUAUAGCAAAGUCUGAUUUCCAUGAGUCAUGCAGAAUUGAAGCCAGGUUCCAAUCAUGGUUGCCAAUAUCACUGGCCUCUCUACUUUUGAUAUUUACACAAAGUUGUUAACGGGAUUCCAACUCUCAUGGUCAACUUUCUAUUAUGAGGGGUCAAGGUGAGACUCAAUUGUUAACGUGUCAGGAUUUUUAAGAAUUCCUAAAUAUUUGGUGCAUUUUGGUUUUAGAAAAGUAUUUAUUACGGAUUCAACGGUUUUGACGUGCUUUCUUGAAUAUUAAUUAUAGAUUGCUAUUGUUGCGUCUGCGGGUUAUAUCUAUUCUAAACAUCAUGGUUGAAACAGAUAAUUUCCUUGCACCUUAUAAAGGUAUUCUUUCUUUUGUUGAGUUCAAUAAUAAUUUGAUUAUUAUUGGAUUGCCUUUAAUUUCCUAUAGAGUAGCUAUUAACACUUAAUUUUCCAAUUGGUAAUAUCUUACCAGGAAUCCAAAUUUUUUGUCAUGCAAUUACAGGUACUAAAUUCUACACUUUUAUUUACUCUUCAAUUCUAGAAUUAUUUUUUUUAAAAGGCUAAAUUCUAGAAUUAUUAUGUAGUAGGAAUCUAAUUAAGAUUUAGCUUUACAUUUAUAUUUUCAACCCAUAGGAAGUGACUAUCGCAUUGACUUGAAACUUUACAUGCAUGAUGAGUAUAAGUAAAUUGUUAAAUUUAAUGGUUGGUUUAUUAAAAUAUUAAUAGUAUAUGAAAUUAUAAAAAAAUUGUAAAAAUUAAUUAAUUUUAUAGUGGUGUAUGAGUACCGCAUACAUGUAUACGUGCGUCUCCAAGAGACCACAUAAAAGAAGAUCCAUCAUAAAUGAUUCAUAAAUAAUUUUGAACUACAUUAAUUGGGUUUUUUUUAAUUAGGUAUUUUUAUGAUAUUGUGAUGUUUCUUGGUCAAAAUAAAACUUACAUGGAAUAAGGUCUAAAUUUACCAUUCUAUUUUGAGUAAUGGAUCACACUUAUCACCAUCUUUGAACGAGUGUAAUUUUGCCGCUACACUUUUAAAUUAGUUAAAAAUAUGAUCAAAAGUUAAAACUAGUGUUAAUUUUUGACCAUUUUUGAAGUAAAUUAAAAUGUAUAAUGGUAAAAAUUGCACUUGUUUAAAAAUAAAAUAAUAAAUUUGAUCCAUCACCUUAAAUAAACUAGCGUGUGUAAAUUUAAAUUUUAUCCCAAAUUAUGCUAUGAAUUUUGUUGGUGAAAAUAUGGCAGCACAUACCCAAGUUAAAUUAGUAAAUGACAUAUGUAUAACAUAUAAUCAUGUUGUCCAACUAAUUAAUUUAUAUAUUGUUAUGUAAUUUUUUUUUUGUGAAACAGGAAUUAUAGGAAUUAUAUUGCUAAGAACACUUUUCACGAUAAUUUGCUUGAUUAUAUUGGUUAUACGCAAAUUAAAAAGGAGGCAUUUAUCAAUGGAUGACAUGAUUGAGAAUUUUCUUCAGAGUCAAAAUAAUUUAAUGCCUAUAAGAUAUUCUUAUUUUGAAAUAAAAAGAAUGACGGAAGGUUUCAAGAAUAAGCUAGGACAAGGAGGAUAUGGCUCUGUGUUUAAAGGAAAACUUAGAAGUGGUCAACUUGUUGUGAUAAAAUUGUUAAACAAAUCAAAAGCUAAUGGCCAAGAUUUCAUCAAUAAAGUUGCAACUAUUGGAAGAAUUCAUCAUGUCAAUGUCGUAAGACUCAUUGGAUUUUGUGUGAAGGGAUCAAAACAAGCUCUUGUAUAUGACUUCAUGCAAAACAGGUCCUUAGUUAAAAUAAUAUUUUCGACUGAAAGUAACACUUUGAGUUAACAAAAAAUGUUUGAGAUUGCAUUGGGAGUGGCUCGAGGUAUUGAAUAUUUACAUAGAGGAUGUGAAAUGCAAAUUUUACAUUUCGAUAUCAAGCCACAUAACAUUCUCCUAUAUGAGAACUUUAUCCCAAAAGUUUCAGAUUUUGGCCUUGCAAAGUUGUAUUCAGUGGAUGACAGUAUUGUCUCUCUCACAGCUGCAAGAGGUACAUUAGUAUAUAUGGCUCUUGAAUUGUUUUAUAAAAAUAUUGGAAGCAUCUCAUAUAAAGCCGAUGUUUAUAGUUUUGGAAUGAUGUUAAUGGAAAUUGUCAGAACGAGAAAAAAUGUGAAUGUCUCUGCUGAACAUUCAAAUCAAAUUUAUUUUCCAUCAUGGAUUUAUGAUCGACUCGAAGAAGGAGAUAUCAUAGAGCUUGGAGAUGUAACAGAGAAUGAAAACAAAAUUAUGAGGAAAAUGGUAAUAGUAGCCUUUUGGUGCAUACAGAUGAAGCCCACAGAUCGUCCUUUAAUGAGCAAAGUCUUGGAGAUGCUUGAAAGUGAAGUUAAGCUCCUUGAAAUGCCUCCCAAGCCUGCUUUCUCUUGAAAUGUCAACCAAAUCAUUUAGUGUUGUAUUAUAAGUAAUAUUUAAUAUUGUAUGUUAAGCAAUGUUUCACUACUUUAUUAUAUUGCUUUUAUAAUUUUUAUAGUAGAAACCUUAAGCUUCGGGCAUAAUCUUCUCUCUUCCUAAAAAAACAAAAAAAACAAAAACAAUAUAGAAUGGUGAUGAAGAAACUAUAUCAAGGAAAAGAAGGAUACUGAGUUGGAGUUUUGAGCGUGCGAACAUUUUAGGAGAGUUGUAAUGGUAUCUUGUAAGUAUUUUGUCUAUAUAAAAAGUCUUUGGGGCAUUUUAAAAAAUAACCCUCAAAGAUAAUAUGUUUUCAAAAAUAACUCUUUUUAUAAUUUUAACUAUUUUUAGUUAAGUUGGAUAAAAUUAUCCUUAAUGAAAUUACNGGUCAAUUUUCUAAUGGACUCCAAACUGGACCUUGAACUCCAAAUCACUAUUCUAAGUCAUUCUGUUGGUUUUAAAAUUUUCAAAUUCCUCUUAGAAUUUCUAUUUGAACUAGUUCAAGGCUCGAUUUAACUUAGUUGUACCACUUGGUACAAUACCGUCUUUUAAUCGAGCUUGACAGGGUCUCACAUUAGUUUUAUCCAAAAUACCUAAAAAUCGAAUUUCUCAAGUAGCCACUCACCCAAGCACGUCAAAACUAUUGCUUGGUGUCUUGAAAGUACAAGAAAGAGAAAUAUGAAAAUGCGAGAGAAAGAAAUCGGAAGCAUAGCAGACGAAUGUCGAAGAGAGAAAUCGAUAAAAUUUAAAAGAGUGGGAUGGUGAGACAGAAAAAUCCAAAACACAAAUAGGGAGAAAUUGUGAUGAAUUGUUUAAUUUAUUUGAAAUAGUUUAAAGGGUAUUUUUAUCAAAUCAUAACUAAAUAUGAAUAAAAAUAGUUAAAUUUAUUUUGAUAAUUAUUUUUAAAAUGUCUCUAUCAAGAAAGACCAUAUCUCACAAUUUUCUCAAAAUCUUUUAUUCAUGUAAAGGAUAAAGGCUUUAAAUAGUAUUAUCUAUACAAUCAUUAUAUUAUUGCAAAUAAUUAACUUACUUUUUAAAAAAAUUAAAAAUAUUUCUCAGCCAUGUUUGGAAUUUUAAUUUUUUUAUUUAAAACAUAUAAAUUAUUUGAGCUUUCUCUCUUAAUUAAAAAAGUCAAAUUGUAUUCAAUUUAAAAAUUUAUUUAAAAUGAUUCGAAAUCAAAUUCAGUUUAGUUCAAAUUACAUGGUAAAAAUUAAAAAUUUGAAUCUAAAAAUAUGUAAAUUUAAAAUGAUAUUAAUCCAACACUAUCUAAGUUCAACAUGACUUGAAUCUAAAACGAACCGAGCUCAUAAUGAUUCAAAACCCAAGAUAUAUCCAAAACUUAUAAAAACUUAAAUUUAUAACUGCAAAAAAUCCCAAUUAUAAUUAAAUAAUUUUAUUUAAUAACUAAAUGAGUAAAUGAUUAUUUUUUAAGUGAAAAUUUUAAGACACACAGGAACCUUUUUCUCGUCAAUGCUUCUUCUUUACUCAGAAACAGCUCAUAGGAAUGGCAUGGUCAACUACUCUGCUUCACCUUCACUUCAAAUUCCCUCCGGUUUCUUUUCACCAAUUGCCACAUUCCCUCCCCAAAAAAUCCCUAAUCUUCCUAAACCCUAACCCUAUAAUUGCCAAUUCCAAACCGGCCAAAAUGCAAUUCCUUCACAGACCCAACGCGUUUCCAGGCCACGGCGCAGUAUCAAGAGCCAUGGACAUCAUCCAAUCCUCGCCGCCCACGUGGCUAUCGGCCUUCCUCAGCAACCUCGUGAUCUUCGUCGUCGGAACCCCACUUUUAGUAGCGGGGCUAUCUCUCUCCGGAAUUUGCGCUGCCUUCUUGCUUGGCACUCUCACUUGGCGCGCUUUUGGGUCUUCUGGGUUCCUCCUCGUUGCUUCUUACUUCGUUAUUG
Molecule: long non-coding RNA, 70460 nt
Filed under: Theobroma cacao (cacao)
Lineage: Eukaryota; Viridiplantae; Streptophyta; Magnoliopsida; Malvales; Malvaceae
Description: long non-coding RNA (TCAC_LNC004321)
Source: RNAcentral